RNAcentral lists this long non-coding RNA (79768 nucleotides) under Malus domestica (apple). RNAcentral describes it as "long non-coding RNA (MDOM_LNC007116)". The stretch from base 15093 to 15186 matches the Rfam family "Small nucleolar RNA SNORD34". Lineage: Eukaryota; Viridiplantae; Streptophyta; Magnoliopsida; Rosales; Rosaceae. The record is from RNAcentral.
AGUUCCUUGCAAUCUUUUAGGUUGAAAUGACUCAACCCUGUGAGAUUAUUAAUUGACAGGGGCAGUUCUUUAAUUUUUGACCAGGAUAAAUUAAGCUCUUCUAACUCCUCCAUACCUUCCGAAAUCUCUGGAAACAUCUCAAGACUAGAGCAGCGAGAAAGAUUAAAGGUUUUGAGAGAUCUCAUACGAAUUUUGCUGGGUAGAAUCUUAAGUUCCUUGCAAUUUGAUAGGUUCAAAUGACUCAACCCCGUGAGAUUAUUAAUUGAUGGGGGCAGUUCUUUAAUUUUUGACCUGGAUAAAUUAAGUUCUUCUAACUCUUUCAUACCUUUUGAAAUCUCUGGAAACAUCUCGAGACUGGAGCAGCCAAGAAGAUUAAAGGUUUUGAGAGAUCUCAUACGAAUUUUGCUAGGUAGAAUCUUAAGUUCCUUGCAAUGUGAUAGGUUCAAAUGACUCAACCCCGUGAGAUUAUUAAUUGAUGGGGGCAGUUCUUUAAUUUUUGAAUAGGAUAAAUUAAGUUUUUCUAACUCCUCCAUACCUUUUGAAAUCUCUGGAAACAUCUCAAGAUUGGAGCAGCCAGAAAGAUCAAAGGUUUUGAGAGAUCUCAUACGAAUUUUGCUGGGUAGAAUCUUAAGUUCCGCGCACCAAUUCAGAUCCAAUAAAACAAGGUUUGUAAGAGUCGAAAUAGACGCGUGAACCUCAACUAAGCUUAUACAACUUCGAACAAUUAGCCUCUCAAGAUUUGGCACAUUUGUGAAGUCAGGGGUUUCCUUAAGGGAUUGACAAUGACUUAAAUUGAUGAAUUUCAACUUUUCCUGCGUCUGUUAAAACAUUCAGGAAAACAUGCAUUACUUAAUAAGACAUCUCACUCAAAGCCCAAACAUUUAAAAGAAACAAAUACAUGUAAAUGAUUGUACGUACCUGGGUUCCUUCCCAAAGUCGAUCAAUGAGACUAUAUUGCAUGUCAAGUUCAACAAGAUUUUCGAAUUGAAAGUUGGAUGGCAAAGACUUGAGAGGGAAAUCAAGCCAGGAGAGAUACCUCAGGUUAAGCAACUUUAAGGACCCAAACAGGUAUUGUUUGCAGUACUCAUCUUUAAAAACGAAGUGCCUAUGACUGAUCUCGAGAAGUCUUUGUUGAGUCCUUCCAACAACAGCUUCAGCAUUUAAGUUCCUAUGAUGACUGAUCUUGAGAAGUCUUCGUUGAGUCCUUCUAACAACAGAUUCAGCAUUUAAGUGCCUAUGACUGAUCUUGAGAAGUCUUAGUUGAGUCAUUCUACCAAAAGCUUCAGCAUUUAAGCAUGGCCAGCCUGAGUACGAGAAAUCCACAAUUAUGCUUUCAACUGUUUUUGUAGCCUGUGCAAAUCAAAGUAAAGGAAAAUACAGAGAACCUUAGUUUUGAUUAUGAAAUUAAUGAUUGUUUCUUAAGGAGCCGUCUGAUAAUCAUUUCAUUUUCUGUUUAAUUGUUUUCAAUUUCAUUAUUACAACAAUGAAAACUAAAAAUUGAAAACAAAAAUGGUUAUCAAACGGGUCUAAGAAAUUGAUUUUGAUCAAAAGUUGAACCUUUCUACUAACAAUUGCAUAAGAAAAAUAUUUCUCACCGCAUUUUCAGUUAGCACCUGACGAACAUCUUCAUAACUCCACAACCUACUUCGUCUCCCAGGAUCUUUGAUAGAUUCUUGGCGGACAAUUUCCCAACCCAUUUCCUCUAAUGAAUCAUGCAUCUCCAAUUCCCCCAACCUUGAGACAGUUAUGAGAGAUCGAUCGAUUAGAACUUUUAUUCCUGUAUGAGGAUGGAAACCACAACUGUCCAGAAUUUCAGUUGCCUGGUCUUCCUUCAUCCCUUUAAAGAAACAUGCAAUAUCUAGAAAGAUGUCCUUCUGCGUGUCAUCUAGUCCAUCGAAGCUUGUUUUAAGCACAUCAUGAACUCCCCUUUGUGGGAUUUUCCUUAUUUUUUCCAACUCACCUUCCCACACGCGUAUGGUUUUUUUAUGCAAAAAAGCUCCCAAGACUUUGAGGGCUAAAGGCAGACCUUGAGCAUAUUCUACAACACGAUUCGAGAGAUCAUCAUAAUCUCUAGUGGGUUGGUCAUUUCUGAAGGCGUGCUGCCUAAAGAGUUUCAGAGCUCCAGAAUCACUCAAAGUCUUGGGAUUAUAUAUCACAUCAGCUAUGCUUAGUAACUGCGAAUCUCUACUUGUUAUAAUAAUCCUACUUCCACCACCAAAGGAAUGUUGCUCUCCAAGUAAAGCUUCAAUUUGUUCUAAUUUGUCCACAUCAUCAACAACAAUAAGAACUUUUCUCUGACCAAGGCUUUUUAACAUCACCUGGAAACCUUUACUCAAUAUGUCAGAAAUCCCCACCUUGUUGUCUGAGAUACUAGAUAGAAGUAGUGUCUGCAUAUGUAGUUCACCCUGCUUCAUGAAACCCUCCUUGACAUUUUUAAGAAAGCAACCAGCUUCAAAUCGACAAGAGAUUUCAUCAUAAACAGUUCUAGCGAUGGUUGUUUUGCCUAAACCACCCAUACCCCAUAUUCCAACAACGCGAACAUUAUUCGUUUCACCUCCGGGAGGAUAUAAUAAUAAAUGCAUUUCAUGCAUGUGAGAAUCCAUGUCAACCAAGCCAUUAUCUUUGCUUGAUGUUGAUGAGAUGUCUAUCAAUUUCCUAUAAACAUCUUCUACAAUUUCCUCAAUAAGCACCACAUCAUUCCUGUCAAAUUUAAAAAACAUAUAAUAACAACAUCAAAUAAUAAUUAAUGGGUCUUUUUCAUCUGUUAGUUAAAAAAAAAUAGAAAUUAAAACUAAAACUAAAAUCUAAACGUUACAAAAAUCCCAAAAAUUAAAAGGAAACUAAAACAAAUUAGAAUUUACUCAUAGUUUCGCGAAUCCCAGCCGGAUAAACAGGUGGCAGUUGUAAGAGUAGAUCUCCAACUCCGAACCUCUUCCAUUUCGGCGUUAGAAUCGCGAUCGUGCUCAGAAAAGCUUGUGCGAAACUUUUCUUGAGCUUACGAACAUGAGACGGAUCAACUUCAUAGAAAAUGGGGAGUACAAUCUGGUUAUUGGUAUCCUUGCAUUCCAGGAUUUGCACGAGUUCUUUCAAGCACCAAGUGGAAGAAGCAUAGUUUUGAGAGAAAACUACAAGCGAAAGCCUUGACCCUCGAAUCGCUGUCAGGAGCUCGGAAAGGUGGUCGCCUUUUCUGAGCUUUUCCGCAUCAAUGAAGGCGUUGAUUGGUUUCUUAACCAGAGCGUUGUAGAGAUGGCUGACGAAGCCCCUGCGAGUGUCUUCCCCUCUGAAAUUGAUGAACACAUCGUAUUUCCAACCAAGGUUAGAAGCAGCAGCCAUUAAUCGAUCGCACCUGGUCAGCGAUGAUCGAGCAGCUAAGACUAAGAAUAAUGUAAGAACAGAAAUACUCGAUUGAUCUAUAAAUUGAAUCACUGAAGAAACUGGUCUGAUCGAUACGAAGUCAACGAAGACAAAGAAAAUAAUGCUUUAUGUGUUUUCACAUCUUCUUCCGGGAAAUUUAACGAAAAUAAUUUUCCUUUAGGCAAAAUUGACUUCAAAAUAUAAAAAUAUUCUUUCAAUUAUGGACAUAUGACAUUUCGGUGUGAAACGAAUAUGCUUAUUUGGUUUGGUUUGGACCCAAGAAAGGACAAAGAUUGUCUGCCCUCCUACUUCCGGUGCCCUUCCAUGCCCUUCUGUUUGUGUAGUCACGGUUAAGCCACGUCAACAUUUUAUAUUACUAUUUAUUUUUGUCUUAUUAUCUCUAUAAAUAAGCAAUAUAAAAUAUUAACGUGGCAUAAUCGUGACCACAGAAAACAAGAGUUGGCACCAAAAAUAGGAGGACAAACAACCCUUGUCCCCCAAGAAAAUGCUAAGAAAGGAUGGUUUAGCAGCUGUGCAUGAGGGGACUGGGUCAAAGUACCCUGUUGAAUCCACUCUUGCCUACCCAACAACUUAUUUAGUUAUUUGUAAGCCCGAAAUAUAUCCCGAUCUUUCUAUUCACACCAAAAGUAAGUAGAGUGAUAAGAAAUAUUUCCGGUUAAGUAUAAGCAUGUCAGUCUGCAGCAGCAUAGCCACGUUAAGGGCUACCGUGGGCUGUAGUCUAUGUAAUUUUCAGUGAAAAAUAAAAUUUUACAUGUAAUUUUUAUUGAUUUUCAAAUAUACUUCUUCAUAUAUACAGUCUUUAAUCUGAAUUAUCUCAUUUUAAUUAUAUAAUUAUAUAAUACAGUUUACAAACUGUCUCUUUUUCUUACAUCAUUUUUCUCACCGCUUCUUGCACAUGUACAAGUUUGGAUUUUGUUUGAAUUUUAACACGUAUUUGUUUAAAAACGAAAAUCCUUGGCUUACAUAGUGAAAAUUUUCUUAAGUUAGCUGAUACUUUGAAAAAUACAGGAUCAAGUUUCUUUGUUUAUAAAGAUUUAAAUCUUUAAGCUAGCCCACCCGGUGAAAAAUUCCUAACUCCGUCAUGCAUUUUACAUAUAAUUUUUAUUGAUUUUCAAAUGUAGUCCAUCAUAUAUACCGUCUUUAAUCUGAAUUCUCUUGGUUUAAUUAUAUAAAAUUAUAUAAUACAGUUUACAAACCGUCUCUUUUCUUACAUCCUUUUUCUCACUGCUUCUUAUACAUGUACAAGUUUUGAUUUGUUUGAAUUUUAACACGUAUUUGUUUAAUAACGAAAAUCAUUGGCUUACAUAGUGAAAAUUUUCUUAAGUUAGCUGAUACUCUGAAAAAUACAAGAUCAAGCUUCUUUGUUUAUAAAGAUUUAAAUCUUUAAGCUAGCCCCCUGGUGAAAAAUUCCUAGCUUCGCCAUUGAGCAUGUGGUAUAUCCUAUGAUAUCAUGGACGGCAAACGAGCGAUUAAUGGUUGUUUGGCAUUUAAUUUGAUGUCACGGUAGUAACGGUACUCUAAAAUCUUUGAUAUACUUGCUUUCAGCUACAAAACUACUAGAACUCCGAAAAUUGCUUAUGAAAAUAAAAAUAUUGACUAGAUUUGAACUUGUAUAAUCUAUGUCUUCACUACACAUUGUUGUGUUCGCUCGUGUUCUAAAGUUGACGCUAGCUAGAAGGUCACAGCAAGAAGCAGAGGAGGCUAACUAUUGCAGAAAUUUGUUUAUUCAAAAGCAUUUGUAAAAACACAUAUUGAAAUUAAUUCACGCCAAAAAUAAAUAAUACAGUGGUGGCAGGCACACUACAACAAUAGGGUUUUAACCCUAUGCAUUUUUAUAUUGGCUUUUGUGUUAUCAGUUGCGACCGCUCGGUGGAGAGAGCAUUUUAUGUUAUGAAUAAAAAUACCACUGCGUAACAAAAUAGAAGAUUAAUGGUUGAGUGAUAGCUGGUUUGUUUGCAAUGAGAGAGAUGUUUUUGCUUUUAUUGAUAAUGAAUCUAUAUACGCGAUGUUUUCAUAGCAUAAAACAUCGCCGACAACAAUUGUAACUUUUUGUGUUGAUAAAUUAGGAAAGACAUUAAUAUUUUCUAAUAUCUAAAAGAAUUUGGAUGUCUACAUUUUUUUGGAAAACUUUUUACCCUUCUAAAUUUCGCGCCUCUCCCGACAAUUCCUAGCUUCGCCACUGCUAUAGUCAACUCCAAGUCUUGUCCAUGAUAUCAAUAUCCCUACUGUAAACGGUGACUUCAAUAUAAGCUAACAAAAAGUUUGUAUAGAGAAGAUAUAUGCAUGAAAAAAUGGCAGUGUUUGUGUUGCCGAACGGAUGAUACUGAAAUACCUAAACCCAAGUCAAGCUCCUUUAGUCCACAAAAACAAAAGUUUAGAAUACAAUAAUGUUUGCAUAUAGAUUGGAGAAACGACAUACCACCGGCCAGGAAGGUGCAGUGAAAGAGAGAGGAAAAGAGGAAAGAAACAAAUACGAAAUGACAAAGACUAUCAAAUAGAUUAUAACAAUGACUUCUUAGCGGUGAUCACAACUAUUCAACUAUCGAUGAUGCUUUAUUUUAGAUUGAGAUGUGGAAGCAUCUGAGAAGUAGCAUGUCAACAACCAUUACACAAUAAUAUUGUCUAAUAUCUAAAAGAACUUGGAUAUCUACAUUUUUUUAGAAUCUUUUACCCUUAUAAAUUUCGCACCUCUUCAGACAAUUUCUAGCGUUGCCGCUGCUUCAGUCAACUCCAAGUCCUAGUGGUUCUUGUCUAUGAUAUCAAUAUACCCAUUGUAAAUGGUGAUUUCAAUAUACAUAGAGUGUGUACAGGGGAGAUAUAUGUAUGAAAAAAUGGCAGUUGUUGUAUCUGUGUUGACGAACGGAUGGUACUGGAAUACCUAAACCCAAGUCAAGCUUCUUCAGUCCACAAAAACAAAAUGUUUAUUAUAUAAUAAUGUUUGCAUAUGGACUUGCGAAACAACAUACCGCCGGUUGGGAAGGUGCAAUGAAAGAGAGAGGAAAGGGGGAAAUAAACGAACAAGAAAUGACAAAGGCUAUCCAAUAUAUUAUAAAAUGACUUCUUGGCAGUGAUUAAGCUAUUCAAUUAUCAAUAAUGCAUUAUUCUUAAAGUUUAUAAUAUAAUAAUGUUUGCAUAUGCACUUGCGAAACGACAUAUCGUCGACUGGGAAGGUGCAAUGAAAGAGAGAGGAAAGGAGGAAAUAAACGAACAAGAAAUGACAAAGACUAUCCAAUAUAUUAUAAAAUGACUUCUUGGCAGUGCUUAAGGUGUUCAACUAUCAAUAAUGCAUUAUUCUUAGGUUGAAAUGUGGAAGCAUCCGAGAAAUAGCAUGGUAACAACCACACAAUAAACAAAAGUGAUUAGAGAAAAGAACCAAAUGUGAAAGGAUAAUUAAAAACAGUUAUUCAAGAUCGGCGGUAAAUCAUUCAGCUAUUUACAAGAUUUGAACUUAGAACCGCAAUCUACUAGAUUGUUGUAUCAACUAUUAAGUGGUGUUCUAAUAUAAUUCUUAGGAAUUUCAAGGAGGCAUAUGGGGGUGGAUCAUUUUUUUUCUAAAUUCGACAGUACAAAGAAGAAUUUAAUUGAUAACGGAAAAAAUAAGUUACAUAUAGAGCUGGAGCAUAUAAUAGACCCAAAUUGACCAUUUUUAGGCUCCACUGCUAAGAACUAUUGCAAAAUGCUCAUUAGGAUUACCCUGUGAACUCCGUCCUUCCACACCAAGCCUCCAAACUCAGUCCGAUAUGUUGCAGCUAGUUUAGAUACUUGUCCCCUGCAUGUUACAGAAUCACAAGAGCAAGCUUACAAAACUGCAGUUUUUACUCAUAGUUAUUGCAAAUGAAAAUACAGGUUGGUGCCAGCAAUUAUCAGUGUAAUUCUCUAUCCGACGGUAUUUCUCUCGCCUUCUCUUGAUAAUUUCGGAUGUGACAUGUUUAAGAUAACUCUUCCAAACACGUUGCUUAUGCCUAAUUUUUAAUACCACCAUAUCAUAUCAUAGUAAAUCCAAAUAACUAUCGAAUGGCAUUUAGGCAUCUAGAAUAUCAAAUGCAUUACUUUACAUUGAAAAUUCAUUUAUUCAAUAGCAUUAAUACACUAGUAAAAAAAACACUUUGCACGACGUAGGUCCUUCGUCGCGCAAAGUCAAAACAUGUCGCGCAAAACUUUGCCCAACGAACCUUCGUCACGCGCAAACCGUCGCAGCAAGGCAGUGACAUAAGGCUUUGCACGACGAAGGGUUACAUGCAUCGCGCAAAGCCACUUUGCGCGACGCAUGUAACCCUUCGUCGCGCAAAGCCAUUUUGUGUGAUGCAGGCUGCGUCGCUCAAAGUGGCGUCACGCGAAGAUGCUUUGCGCGACACAUGUCAUUGAGUUGCACAAAAUGACUUUGCGCAACGUAACCUACGUUGCGCAAAGUGUAUUUUUGGUUUUGGUCAAAAAUAUUAUUUUCUUAAUUUUUAAUAAUGUUGUAAUUAAAUUCUAAACAAUAAUUAAUUAACCAAAAAAAGUAUUUAAUUAUAAAAUAUAUGGAAAUGUACAUACAAGAUGUCCGAAUAAAAAAGAAAAAACUACAAGUAGUCUUCUAGGUGAAGUGGCUACUGGGUAUCAACAUGGUGAAGUGGCUUCUAGGUGAAGUAACAUUUCGAUGACGUGAAAAAGUUUCAAUUGGUCAUCUACAAGUGUCAAACCUAACACAUUUUACUUAAAAAAGAAAAAGGUAAUAACAUAACUCAAAACGAAAAGCAAAAGGGAAAAAAAAAAACUUUGCGCGACAUAAGUACAUAUGCAUCUCGCAAAGUUUUUUUUUCCCCCUAUUGCAGAUACAAAUAACAUCAUCCUUUUGCAAGAAUCAGUCUCUGCCCUCUCGCCCUCCCUCUCCCGCUCCCUCUCCUUCUCCUUCUCCCCUGUGUAGUUGUUGGUUGUGUUGUACGAAGUCGUCCCUCUCCCUCUCCCAUGUGUUGUUGUUCGUUGCACAAAGUAUUUUGCCCGAUGCAGGUGUACCUACGUCCCGUAAAGAUUUUUUUUUUUGCCCUUUUGCUUAUGAGUACAAAAUAAAUAAAUUAAAAUCUACUUACUAAAUCAACUAUGGAGCUUUUGACUUGUGUUAGAACACUGGAAAGAAAGACAAAAAGAGACAUUUUCAUGUUGACUUUGCACGACGCAUAGUACAUCAUGCGUCGCGCAAAGCUGUUUUGAGUGACGUAGUGUACCUGCGUCGUGCAAAGUUGGAAAAAAAACGGUAAAACAUUCUUGGUUUGGCCCCAAAAUCUUGCGCGGCGCACAAAACGUCGUGCAAGUGGUCUUUAUGCGACCAUACUUUGCGCAACGAAGGAGUGCGUCGCGCAAAACAGUUUUGAACGACAUAGAUGUACCUUCGUCGCGCAAAACAAUUUUGUGCGACCCACUCCUUCGUCGCACAAAGACCACUUGUGCGACAUCUUGUGUUUAGCGUUGCACAAAGUAUGUUUGCGCGACGAAAUUUGCUACGUCACGCAAACAUGUUUUUGUACUAGUGAUAACACACACAUUGAAUCUCCACUUGCCCACCCAAAAACUUCUUUGUAAACUAGAAAUAUAUUCCAAUCUCCCUAUUCACAUGAAGAGUGAGUUAGAGUGAUUGGAAAUAUCUUUGAUUACGUGUACGCACACCACAUAUGUGCCAUAUCCAACGGUAUUGCGGACAUAAAGCAAGCAAGUAAUGGUUGUUUGGCUUCUAAUCUGAUGUCACGGUAGUGACGGUACUACUUUGAAAUCUUUGAUGUAUAUGUUUUUAACUACAAACUACUAGAACUUCACAAAUUGCUUAAAUACAAGUUCAAGCAAUAAUAAGAAUAUUUCCAAUAGAACACCUUUCAUAGGGCCGGUCCAGAAAUUUUUGAGGCCCGGGACGACGUAAAAAAAAGUGCCCUAACUUCAUGUAAGAAAAUUAUUUAUUUUCACACGUAAGACAUCGAUAAAAUUAUACUUAGAAAAACACUUCAAACUUAAUAAUUUAAAAACACAUAAAGACUAAUUUAUUUUGUAUUGAGAGAGGGAAACAACAAAACUUCGGGCUUACAAGUAGAUAGAUGAUGAGUUUUGUUUUCCAUCUGAACUUUGAAUGUGUUUUUGAAUAAAUCAUGAGGUGUUUUUUUCUUAUUUACUAAUCUUGUCAAUAUGGGACUAUAAAAAAAUGAUGUUUUCGAGUCUUUAAUUGAUAUGUAUUAUUAAUGAAUUGGCACUAAAUUAAACAUUUUGAUGACAUGUCAUAUAAUUUGCAAAUUUGGUCUACGUAUUAUUCUUUGUUGAAGAUUAGACUUGAAUUAAAACGAAUAUUUAAAAAUAACAACCCACAUAUCUACUAGAUAGUAACUAAAAAUAAAUUAACAACCAAACAAAAAUUUGUAAAAAUUGAAAAGAAUAAACAUGCACAUAGCACUUCAAACAAAAAUCAUUGUUUCUAAGGGGGGUGUAUUCAAUUGAGAAUGUGAAAGAUUUUAAUGGAUUUAUAAAUCCAUGGAUUUUUAUGGAGUUUAAUUGAUUUGUAGAGAUUCCAUAUAAAAUUUUGAUUCAAUUCCUUCGAAAUCUCAUGGGAAGAGGUGAGAUUUGUGGAUACUUAAAAUACACUACGAAAUCUCUCCAAUUCCCUCUAAUUCUUUAACUUUCUCAAAUUCUUUAAAAUCAAUUUCUAAUUGAAUACACUUGGAAUGUUAUAAACUUCUUUAAAAUCUUAAUUGAAUACACCUGGAUUUCUAAGGAUUUUAAUAAACUAUUUUGAAAUUCUAAUUGAAUACACCUAGAAUUUCAGAGAAUCACUUAAAAUCCUAAUUGAAUACCCCUGGAAUUAUUAAUUCCCUGAAACUCUCUCAGAAUCCUAAUUGAAUACACCCCUCUAAGUAGACUUCUUGAUCCUUUUACCAAAUUUUAUAAAUUUAUUCUCUUAUGAAAAGAAAUUUGUAAAAAAUGAAAUGUAAAUAAGCACACAUGGUGUUUUGAACCCAAUACCUCCUCAUUAUUUUCAAAUGACAAACCACCACUUCUAGUUAAAUUUCUAUGUCUUUGAACCAAAUUUUAUAAAUUUAUACUCUUAUAAAAACAUACAUAAAUUGACACACCCCAUCCCGAAGGAGGGCAUGCUGGCCGUCACGUGAGAGUGACGUAACCAUUUGCACAGUACGGAAGCUUUAAGAUACAAUUUAUAAGUUGAUACACCCGAAGGUGAGUCCUAAUUUUGUCCAAUCUGUCAGAACACCGUCGAAUUCCUCGUAGUCACCACACCUUUGUGAUUCUUGAACCUGGAGGGGCGCAAAACCAAAAUUGAGUGGGUCAGUAAAACAAUUCUUUUCCAAAUCCAAACAUUUCUCAAAACGUUGUAACCCCUCUCCGUAAAACCUGUAUACUUUCCCAGAAAUGUAAAAUAUAAAUAUACAUAUAUAUUCUCAAAACUUCAUUUUUACUAUCUCAACAUUUUUCUUUAUCAAUCAUGCCAUGCCAUGUCUAAUUCAACAGUUAAAUAUGGAUGCAUCAACAAUAAUCAUAUCAGGUGCAAGAAAGUAAUCAACCGGAGGCCCUCUAAUAGCCCUGUACGGUUGAACCUAGAGCUCAAAAUCUAUCACUAUCACUCUACCGGAGUCACCUCUGUGACCCGUCCGGCCUUCUGCACACAAGUUAUGCUCUAGUGCUUUCUCAUCAAUCAUCUGUGCACAUAAUCUAAGGUCACCCACCAGUCGGAAUCUCACUAACACUCUCGCGACUGGCCUGUCGUACCCACUCCGCGUGGACUGUACGACUAGCAUCUACUUGGAUCCAAGGCGAGCGUGCGAUGCGGUGAAUACUAUAAGCACUAAACCAUUGGUGCAGGAUUUGAGCUCAAUAUAUAUCAACAUCAUCAUAACAGUAAUUAAAUACUCACCUGAUACUCACCUGUGCGUCCGCCGCACCAUUCAUUCAUAUGCAUCAUAUCUCAAUUCAUACUUUUCAUAUCAUUUCAUGCAUGGCAAUUCGAUUCACAUUUCUAUAUACUUUUCAUAUACUUUUAUGCAUGGCAUUUCAACUAAUAUAUCUCAUAUACUUUUAUACAUUUUCAUUAAAAACAUAAUUUCAUGCAUUUUCAAUUUCUGGGAAACGGCAAGUAUAUAUGUAUACGGAAAACAAAACUGCCCACUCACCUGGAGUUCGCCCUACAACUCCCUAGCACAAUACGCCAAGGCGUCAUGACGAUCGGCGCCUAAAAACAAUAAUUAAUUCCAACCUCAGAAUUCAUAGUGAUAGAAUAUAUAACUUAUAUAAAAUACGUCACUACGUAGUUCGAUCCGGAAGAUCUGCCACUCAGAUUUUAAAUCCAUAACUUCCAGAGGUCCACAAUAUACCUCUAGGACAACUUCCUAAAAUUUCAUUACCAUCCAACGGUCGGAUCUCCGUCAAUUUCCAAAACUAAGUGACGGUUAACAUUUUAUUUUAUGAACUUACAAUUCCAAUUCCGGAAGAUCCGUAACUCGGAUUCCCAAUCCGUAAGUUCCAAUAAUCCUCAAAUAUUACGUAUUACAACGUAUCAAAGUUUGGUAACGAUCCAACGGUCGGAUCGUCAAUUCACAUUUUCACCAAAACUAUAAAACGUUAUUCGAACACCUAACCAACAAUCCUUAAUAACUUUCUCAUACGGUGCUCAAAUUGGGUAUAUGAAUAUACCACGGUGAUCUACUCGACGUCACGGACGUCGACAUAUUUUUAAAAUAAUUUUAUUUAUUUAUUUUUUUUAACUGUAGCACCUUCUUCUUCCUUGGGUCGCCGGACUGGUUUUUCCGGCGGCCGUUUUCCGGGCAGUUUUUCAAAUUGUCAUAACUUUGUCAUUUCUCAACGAAAUCAAGUGAUUCAAAAACGAAAGUUGUAGCCCUUGAAGAGACAAAGAGAAUGGUACCUUGCACAACACCUAGUUCGCCGUGGUUUGGCCGGAAACUGCCUCGAAAGCCUCGGAGGUCGCCGGAAACUGGGUAUUUUUCAAAUGAGUAUAACUUCUUCAAUACUCAACGAAAUUGAGUGAAACAAAAAGGAAAGUUGUAGUACUUGACGAGACGAAGAGAUUGAUACCUACCUCGACUCCUAACUCGCCGGGGAUUCGCCGGAAAAUGCCUCGAAGCUCCGGCCAAACUUUGAACUUGUCGAUCUCCGUGUUCUUACGUCCAAAAACUUCCAACGAAGCACUCCGAGCUUCCUUGGAACCUCACUAAGCUCACUGUGAGCUUGGAUUGUCCUAAAACAAAGUCAAUUCGAAGAUCAUGAACAGUGCACUUUCACGGGGAGUUUAGAAUCUAGGUUUUUCCGAAGUAAAACUUACCUGAAAUUGGUGUCUACGUGAUCGUGGAGUCUCCAGGAGUUCGAUGGUGGUCUUAACUCCGUCGUUGGUAUAGAUUUAGGGUGGUUUUGGAGCUCGUCUGUGUGAGUUUGAAGGAGAGGGAGAGAGACAGAGAAUGAGAGAUUGUGAGGGAGGAGAGAGAGACAGGGUACGGGAAAUAGGGAGGGAUUUGAGGUGUGUGGUCCUACCUAACCCCAAAUCAUAAAAUUCCAUCUCCAAAUAACUUAGAAACAUAUAUUUCACCAAUAUAUGAUUCACAUAUCUUAAUCACGUUUAAGGGAAAUUCCGUCAAUUUACAAUCACGAGUGUAAAACUUUGGGACGGGCUGUGACAUAAAUAUAUCACCCUAAUAAUUUUGGUGCCCCUAAUUUUUCUGGGCCCUGGACGGUCGCCCUGCCUACACUGGGCCUAGGCCGACCCCCUUUCACAAUCCCUGGAGAGCUAGUUCAUUAAUAGACCGAGGAAUAAGUAAAUUGACUCAUUCAUAUAUUUAGAUCAUGAAUGUUUGGAAUCCAUAUUAUGUAAGGAGACAUUGCUUUUGCUAUUAUGAAAUUUAAAAAAAAAAAUGACUAGAUUAGAACUUGCAUAAUCUACGUUUUAUUCAUGGCAUGCGAUUAUUAAUGAUUAAAGCUAAGCUUAAUACUAUGGGAGGUAAAGUAGUGGAAAGCAAAUCCUUGGCACUCAUGGCACUUAUGGAGAAGAUGAAGAAAAGAAACCUAGGUCGUAUUUAUAUACAAACAUGUGACUAAAUUACAGAAAUGAUAACGAGAGAGCAUGUGAUUGUUGACAACCAGUGACAUGAGAAACACACUCUGGGAUCAUAUCCAUCAGAAGCCCAAUUCCAUCCUGUGUAAGAAAGAGAGCAUGAGAACACGAACAUGAAAAAUGAAAGAAUUGUAUUCAGCAUUUUGUCAAGCUAUCAAUUGGUACACAAGCAUUAUGAUGUAAUAAUCAUGUUAAAAUAAAAUAUAAAUAGUAAAACUACACGUCCAAGCUUUAAUCCAAAGAAUUCUCACUUAGUAGUCCAAAGCUAAUUGAUUACCAUUCGGUUGAUCCAGAAACACUCAACCUAUCCAACUAUUUUGCGACGUUACCAAAAACUACUACUACUUUCCAGGUGAAACAUGAAGGGUGAAAAAGCAAACAUGAAUCACUAGAUUUACUACAAAUGAUAUACCGAACAAUCUAACAGUAAAUAUCAACAAGACCAAUCCAACGUUAUCACAAAGCAUAUAUCAAUAAGAAAAAUAUAAAAAUAUUGUUACCUUACUGAAAGCUCCAAUAUUCGGUAAGGUAACAUUGGAGGUCACUAUCAUCUUUCCCGCGAUCAGUGAAUAAAAGCCAAAGAUCUGACUCUUGGAUUCGAGUCAUGGGUUUGGGUCGCAAUUCUCUCGUCGCAUGUUUGAAUACCAAGUUCAUCUUAACAGACUUGGUUUUUUUUAUCAAACAUCUUAACAUAUUUAGGGGUGUGUUCAAUUGGGGAUUUAAGAGAUUUUAAUAGAUUUAUAAAUUUAUAGAUUUAUAUGGAGUUUAAUUGAUUUGUAGAGAUUUCAUGUAAAAUUUUGAUUCAAUUCCCUCGAAAUCUCAUAAGGAGAUGUGAGACUUGAGGAUGUUUAAAAUACACUACGAAAUCUCUCCAAUUGAAUUCCUCAACUUUUUCAAAUUCUUUAAAAUUAAUUUCUAAUUAAAUUCAAUUGAAUGUUGUAAAAUUCUUUAAAAUCGUAAUUGAAUGCAUCCAGAUUUCUAAAUAUUUUAAUAAACUAUCUUAAAAUUCUUAUUUAAUACAUUGAAUUUUAGACAAUUACUUAAAAUUCUUAUUGAAUACCUUUAGAUUCAUUAAAAAAUUUAAAAUUUUUCAAAAUCCCAUUUGAAUACAUCACCCUUAAUAAAUUGUACAUUACAUUAUAUCCCAUUUGAGCACAUUAGCUUAUGCCUCCGGAUUCUGCAUAUCGGGUCGGGUUCCGAAGUUCGAGCUCACAUUUGAUAAUCAAAUUCAUCACAUUUGAUCCAACGGUGGUAAUUGGCAAACCCACCUCGGAGUCAAAAGAUGCGGCCCACGCUCCCUCUCUUUUCCAAAACCCUAGCAAAACCUCGGCCCUAUAAAUACCUUCCACAUCCGCCGCAGGAGGCACCCAAAUGCCCCUUUCUCUUCCCUUUCACACACUAAUCCCUCGCAGAGGCGAUGGGAUUCCCAGUUGCUUCUCCGUCGGAGAAACCUUUCCAACUGCUCCAUCUCUUUGCACCAUCGCCUCUGUUUCUUUUUUAUUUAUUUACUUAAUUAUUUGAGCAAUUUCCUUUAUCCUUGCCAUUCAUAUUUCAGAUUUUCAGCUUGUUUUUUUUUAUCCGAAAAAUAAAAUCGAAGUUGUAUGAGUUUUUUGCAAUUUUGUUGGGUGAGGCCGGUGAUGAUCGAAACAUAUUUUGCCUACAUUGCUUGAUUAUCUUAUUUUAUUGAGAUAAUGAUAAAAUCCGAUGUAUCUGAGGCCUUCCCGGAAGAACGAGCUUUAUUUUAUUUUUUAUUUUUUGGGUAAAAUGUAUUAUUUCAAAUCUUAAUAUUUCAAAAAACUGAAUUUUUAAAUUUCGACUAAAAUGAUGAGUUUUGUUGAUAUUUGCGAUAUAUCACUUAAAUAGUGAAGAAAUUCUUAAUUUCGUCUUAUUAAAUAUGUCAGAUUUUGUUUGAUAUUUUCUCGAUGUCAGAAGUCGAACUUAGAACUCUUAACCAUAAGAAUUGAAUUGAGCUACACUGGAUGCGUUGGAGAAAAUAUUAAUAACUGAAGGAGGAUUUAUGUUAUAACAAAAAUAAAAUAAAAAUGGUAUUCCGGUGCCAGGAUUCGAACCUGGAUGAAAACUCUUAACCAAUAAGACUUUUUGUGGUGAGCUUCACCGGACGACUUGAUAAAUCAUGGCGAAAUAAACUAUUUAAAUGUACUCCUUACGUUGUGCCGUAGAUAAACAAUUAGUGCACAUAAUGUAGUUAUCUGAUUUGUGGGGAAUGGUGAUGCUCACCGCUUAAUGUCGUCGUUGGAUCAGUUUAAGUUUUGAGAUCUGUGAAAUGAAUAAAUACAAAUUUAAAAAUUUAAAUUUAUUUAAUAAUAAUAAGUAUGGUAAUGAGAAAAAAAUGCAUCUUAUGGUUCAGAAACACACUCUCAAAUUUAAAUAACAAUUUUCAUGCUUUCCAACAACACAAAAAUUUUAUAACUAAGAAUCAAUCAAAACAUAAUGAUUGAAUGAGCGAGGAUUUCUUUUAUUUUUUCCAAAUUUUCUGAAGGUUUUUUCUAUAAAAUUUAUGGUGUCAUGAUUGCCUUAAAAGAAUCGUAAAUGUGUUCCUUGAAAAAUAAUAUGAAACCGUAUUUUGAGUUCUUAUGUUUAUUGUUUUAAUUCGAUCUAUCGUUUGAAGCCGCCUCCACCAAAAUAAAUUCAUAUCUAUAUUUUUUCUAUAACGAGUGAUUAAUAAAUCCAACCGUUUUUCAGCACCACAAAAUAAGUUACAACCCGAACACUAACGAGCGAUUAAUGGGUCCAACCGUUUUGCCACAUAUAUAUUUUCUUUUUAUCAAAACAUGCAAAUAUCUUCUUUACCAACUUGAAUCUCCCAUCGUUUGUUUUCUCUUCAUCCACAGAUUUGAUCUGUCUUUUUUGGUGAUCAAACCAAAAUUUUCUUGGACAUGAUUGUACAUACAACCAUUAAUAAACUAUCUCCAACAAAAGCCUAAACAUAGCCUCGUCCAAAAUUAUAGUCUUGCAAAAAAAUAUUUUUUUAAUAAACGAUGUCAAACUAUACUCAUGUACUAUCUUUAACCUGUAUGAAACCUUAAAAUGUAGUGAGCUUCAUCAGUUCAUGUUUAGUGCAAUUAUAUAGAACAAAAUGGUUGUAUUUCAUUUAGGAUUAGGACUUAUAUGUGUGACUUGUAAGGGAUUUAGAGCCACAAAGGAGGGAAACUUGAAGUUACAAUUAUUUGAAUUUGGCGACAGUUAAUCGAAGGAAAUUGCUUGUAACUGCAUCCUUGAUGGGAGGAUGAGUUGCGGAACGUACAUAUAUAUAUAUAUAUAUAUAUAUAUAUAUAUAUCACUUUGAUCUCUCUUCUUAGGUGUGUGUGAUCCCUCACGUAGAAAUAGUCCCAUUGAGUGUUCUUGGAUCAAUUUUGUGACCAAAGGAAGAGAAGAUAUCACAUCCUGGCCCGGGACGGACCACUUCCCGGGCCCACUCCACCACCGUAGCACGAUAUUGUCCGCUUUAGGCCCCGAUUAAGCCUUCACGGUUUUGUUUCUGGAAACUCACGAGCAACUUCUUAGUGGAUCACCCAUCAUGGGAGUGCUCUGCCCACCUUCUCACUUAACUUCGGAGUUCAGACAAAACCCGAAGCCAAUGAUCUCCCAAAAUGGCUCGUGCUAGCUAGGGAUGAGAAUAUACAUUUAAGGAUCACUCCCUUGGACGAUAUGGGAUGUUACAGAAGACAAAUGAUCAAACUUGUUGUCAAUGUCUUCUUCUACAAGUAAGUAAAUUCUCAUUACUUGUUAUAAUCGCUGCAUGCAUAAUGACACAAUAAAUGCAACAAUUAUCAUUCAAUGUUAAGAUUUCUGAACUAGGAUCAUGGUUUAAUUGUUAAUGAUAUAUAUAUCCAAGCAUAACCGAAAUAGCUAAACAUAGCCCCAUAAUAAUUUAUUAUUUUAAACCUUAUACUUUAAAUUAAUUAAUUAAUUUAAUUUAAUUAUCAUUGUAUGUUUUCAAAUUUAGCCGUUUAAUUUGAAUUAAUUGUUGCAACUGAGGAGCUGGAUCCCCAAAAAGGGCUAAGAGGGGUUCUAUAUUUGACCAACUUGAUACCCCUUAGGCUAAUAAUCAUCUGGUGGGCUCCAUAAAAUUAUAGUCUAGUCAUCGGUUGGAAAUAAAUUUUUAGAUAAAUCAAGGUCAUUUUUAGUUUUUAAACCUUUAGUCAUCUCAAUUGAAAAUGACCUUAUGUCUUUAUACGAUGUGCCUCCUAUUUCCAGCUUCAACUCCAACUGAAGGAUGUAAACGUAAUUAUCAUCUAUAGAGAUUCAUCAGAAUUUGAGGGGUUAGAUGACCCCUACUUGCCUCUUAAUGGAUUGGCCUAGGGGUGGGCAAACGGGUAUAGGAACCGCGGGUCGGGGCGGGUACGGACCGGUUCUUAUUUUGUAAAAAUAAAAAUGAGGCGAGGUAGGGCGGGCUUUUGAAAUUUUCGGUUCGGGCUGGUUCCUGAAGUAUGGUAGCGUUUGGUACGUGGGACGGGACGGGACGGAACGGGACGAGCCGUUCCGUCCCACGUUUAGUGCGCCUAAAAACUGUGGAACAGGUUGUUCCAUGGGACAAAAUUUGGCUGAUUUUUCGUUCCACCUCUUCCCCCUGGAACGACCCGUUCCACAUCUGUGGAACACAAAUUUAUAACAUUUUAUGACAAAAUUUCUCCUUAUCUUUUUCAAUAUUUACAUCAUCUGUUCCGUCCUGUUCCAUCUCGUCCCGUCCAGUCCUGUUCCGUCCCGUUCUGUCCCAUCUGCGUACCAAACGGUACCUAUAGGAACCGCGGUUACCCGGACCUGCCCGUUUGUAGUUAGAAUGGACGUAUAAGAUUGAAGAGAUCAUCUCUCCAUCCAAUCUGAAUCGUUGGUUUUAGGUUUGCUCAUCCUCAAACUUAUCGAAUUCAACUGUCACUCUUACUCUGUUGAUCGAGUCUCUCUCGCCGUCUCCAGUGCGUCGUCUCCUUCCCUCCACCACCCCGACAACACGACGGCCCAGACGACCACCAUCUUCUCGAUUUGUCACCUCUCUCUCACCUCUCUCUCGCCAUCUCGAUUUGACAUCCCAAGGACCCAGACUUACAUAACCCAGCCACCCCACCACCCAUCUUCUCGAUUUGUCACCUCUCAUUUGCCGUCUCGAGUGUGUCUUCCCCUCCUUCACCGAGGAGGACGAGAUUCAAAUCCUGCUGGUUUACUCCAAGGAGAUUAACAAGCGCAUGCUCGACACCGUCAAGUCCAGGAACGCCAUUGCUUCCGCUGCUCAAAACGGCGCCAUGGAGUCCGAGACUGUGAGCUCUGCGGUGGAAUGUACCGCUGUUGCCGCCAAUGAAGAUGCUAAGGCUGAAGAGCACAGAUCUCUCCAUGUGUGUUAGGUCACUCUUAGCUUCAUAUUAGCCUAUUAGAGCUUUCAUAUCGAGAUCUGUUCAUAUUUAUCAUGGAUUUCUUGUGAUGCCUAUAUACCUAAUGACCUGUUAAAUAUUUAAACUUUGUUAAUUUCGCUAUGCGCUUCAAUUUUCUGUGGAUUAUAUUAUCUGGGUUUCUGUUGUGAGUAUUGAUCUACUGAGUCUUGAUCUGCUUUGUUCAGAGAUGUUUAUGUUGAAGAUUUUAUAAGGAAGUGGGUGCAUUUGGAAUUGGAAAAUUAUCGAAAUCUUUCCUCUUGCAUUAUUUAGGUUUCCUAUUGCAUAAUCUGCUGCAUUAGUGAAUCUGUGCAAAUUCCAAUUUUUUUUUUUCUAAACAAAAAGAAAACCAAGAACCCGUGGACCCGGCCUGAACCGGCCCAUUUCAACCAGGCCGAGUAAGGUCCAAUUCCUAUAUAAGAAAAUGUAAUCCCCAACUCGGUCCGGCCCAUCUCCUUUGCACCUGGAUCCACCAGUGGCCAUAUGCUAUUGCCCUUUUAUUUUCUUUUUUCUCCUGCCAUGGGCGCAGUCAUGGGUAAGUAGGUAAGUUUGAUUACGCAAUUAAUUGGGCACUCUAGGAGACGCGUAGUGUUAGUGCAGGCUCAAAAGUCAAAAGGUUAAUGAGGAGUGUGGAUGGAAAGCCUGCCCUAAAUACGUUUGUAUUCCUUUGCUGAGUUACUGUACUCUGCCCUUUUCUCCUCUCUUCCUGGAAAAUUCACUCUAUUGAUCUCUGGCCGUGUUUUGCGUGGCAUGAAACAAAACGGUCAAGUAGUGUAUAACAAUUUCAAAAAAAAAGGUCAAAUAGUGUAUAACAAUUUAUCAUAUAGAAAGUUGAUGGUGCUGCAGAUGAUUAAUGAGAGUUUUAACGAAAAACUCACAGCACUGUUUACUUUAACGAAAAGCCACAUUUUUACAUUAAAAAGUCAAACCUAGUACUAUUCAUUUUAUCCUUUAUUUUGUCUUUAACAUUAAAACUCAAAGUUUUCAAACAUUUUUCAUUAGUUUUCCUAUGAUUAAUUGGUGUCCGUAGAAAUUACAUGAUAUCACUCAGACUUUAUCCAACAUAUUAGGCCAUCUCCAACAAAAGUCUAAACAUAGCCCCAUCUAAAAUUAUAUUCUUGUAAAAAAUUAUCUUUUAAUGAAUGAUGUUAGACCAUACUCAUAUAUCAUCUUUAACCGAAAUGGUUAAACACGGCCACUUAAUAAUUUAUUAUUUUAAACCUUAUACUUUAAAUUUAUUGGUUAAUUUAAUUAAACUACCAUUGCAUGUUUUCAAAUUUAGUUGUUUAAUUUGAAUCAAUUAUUGCAACUGAGGAGCUAGAUCCCCAAAAAGGGCUAAGAGAGGGUCUAUAUUUGGUAAGCCUGAUACACUUUUGGCCAAUAAUCGUCUAGUGGGCUCCACAGAAUUAUAAUCUAGUCAUCGGUUGGAGAUGAAUUUUUGAAUAAAUCAGGUAAUUUUUAGUUUUUAAUCCUUUAGUCCUCUUAGUUGAAGAUGACCUUAUGUCUUGCUUUAUAUGAUGUGCCUCCUAUUCCCAGCUUCAACUCCAACUGAAAGAUGUAAACGUAAUUGUCAGCAAAGAGUUAGAAACAUACCCGAAUCCACGUUUUAUAAGCAGAAACUACACUUAUUUGACAUGUUUCCUCAUUUUUUUUACUUGCAAAUUCAAAACCGUCUUGUCGGACCAGUAUAACAAAAUAAUGUUUACGAACAACUGUUAAAACUAAUCACAACAAGUUAAUGCAUAAAGAACUUACGGAUACGGAGGGUGCUAUGAGGCCACCGAAAAGGGUAAACCCCGCAAUAAAUGAAUUCACCUUGUGAUUAAUACUUUGCACAACUUUUUAUGAACCGACAAAAGGCUACAACAAAUUAUGGCUAAAACAGGUCGGGGAUAUGAAAAUAAAUGUCUUCACAGGGUCAGCAGCUUACCAGGGGAGGCAAAAAUGGAAUGAAUGAUGGAAAACUUGAUCUUCAUUUACCGCUCCAAGCUCUGCGCGUUUAAUCCGCUGUUGUAUCCUCAGCCUGCGAACCUACGCAUAUCGAAGCUCAUUCUUAAAGAACACAUUUCUAAUGGCAAUUGGAGAGUAAUUUAAAACAUGCUAAACUGAGAAAGUGGUAGCAACAAGCAAUUGCUCUCACCUCCUCCAUAUGCAAGAAAAUUUUGUUGCGACGACUCCGAAUAUUAUCUUGAAUUUCCUGCAGCUCCAUUGUCGCAAGGUCCUGCACUGUUUCAGGCCCCUCUAUGAUACAAAAUCUGCACAAUUAAGCAUGUAAAAACAAAAAUUUACAGGCUACAAAGCAAUUUCCAUAAUUUUUGGGUUAAUUAACAUCAACAGCAGAUAAAUCACAUGGGUUUUUCACAUAAAGUUACAAACUUUCAAAGACCAGUAAGCUGUCUGCAAUCUCAUAAAUUUCACAGUGCAAAGUAACAAUCCAAAGCUUGGAAAAUUUUCAUUUUCUGUUAAUUUCCUAGAGAGAGAGAGGGGGGAGUACCCGGCGGGGUUUGUAUCGGCGGCGGGAUUGGGAUCAGAAUCGACAGACGGAGCGAAAGAGGAGGAGUCGGGCUCCGAAGCCAUGGCCAGGGAUCACCAUCUGGAGCUGCUUGUUGAUAUGGGGCUUCUUGGGUAGCUGAAUUUGGAGCAGCCGGAGCUACGCAGUUUGUACGGACAGCACCGAUUUACGGGGAAAGAAACGGCAAAAAGUCUGCCGGAGCAGAGCAUCUCUCUCUCUCAAACCAGAAGGCAGAGCUUUCUGUUUCUCUACAGGUUUCUUUCACUGGUAAAUUCCGGAGAAGCAGAGAAGAAGGGUCAAAGGGCCAUGUAUAGUUUUAUAGUCAUACAAAAAAUUAUAUUUUAAUAAAAAAUGUAAGGCCAUAUUUUAUUAGGAAAAUUAAUGAAAAGGCUUGAAAACUUUGAGUUUUAAUGAUAAGGACAAAAUAAAGGGUAAAGUGAAUAGUACCAUGAUUGACUUUUUAGUGUAAAAAUGUGGUUUUUGGUUAAAGUAAACAGUACCAGGUGCUUUUCGUUAAAGUUCCCUAUUUUAUUCCAUAUCCAACUUAGUGGGCCAAUGGACCGUAGGCCAAACAUAGUCAUUUGACAAAAAUCUUAUCUCUAACCGAGAGAGCUAAAGGACCGUAGGCCGAAUAUAACUCCUUAAUAAUUUACUUUUAACGAGUGACUCAAUUAACUAUUUUCAUUUCUUACACGUUCAAAAUUAGACAAAUUCUUUGCAUACAUAAAAAAAAUAUAUAUAUAUUAAGGAGAGAGUAUUAAACUAUUACAUUACGGGUUUCGAACUCGCGAGAACCCUAAUGCCUCUCCACUAGGAUAUUAGACCAGUAAAUUAAAAAGAAAUAUUUAUAGAGGGCUGGAACCAGUCGAAGCUGGGGGGCUAGGCCCUCACGCCCAUAUUAUAUUACUUGAAAAAAAAACAUACAACAAGGAGGACAUAGUACUGAAACCCUGACAAUCAAAAGCAAAAUCAUAUACGACCACUCCAAGCAGUCAACAUAACCAUCACAUAUUGAAUCCAAAAGGUUGACGACCCAUUCGCUGCAUAUAAUGUACAGAAGAUAACAAAUUUUGAAGUGAUGCUCCAAGUAUGAUAUUGGGCAGAAAAGAGCGGCGGCUUCAACCACUUCUUCAGCUAUAUCCGGCUGGGUGAGAGCAGCUAAAGACAUGAUUGUUCCCUAAGAACAUGAAUACAUUGAGUAAACACCAAAAGUAACUGCUAGGGAAGGAGAUUUGAAGUAGAUUAAGAGGUUUAAUACCUGUGAAUGUCCAACAACAAAGACGUUGGAGCUUGUUGAAUACAUGCAGCGCAUCAUUUCUGAUAGAUCAAAUCGAGCCAAUUCCUGCCAACUCCAAUCCCAAAAAUCCUACAGUAAAGCAUAAAUCUUGUUCUUUUCUGAUAAAGAUGUGUCCCUGACUCCAACGUGUUUGACGCACAUUUUCUACCCAUACAUCGAAACCUUCAUCUGCUGGAGAAUUUAAGAAUCAUGCAUCACCUGGUUAAGAUCAAGAAAAGCCAGUAACCAAUUUCAAUUGAGUUUGAAGCACAUUAGAGCCCAAUUUAAAAUGUAUCCGAUGGAUGUUCAUCACUUCACACAAUAGUUAGUUUCAAGAAAGGAAAUUUCAACGCAACCUGAAAACUUCAGAUCAGGGGGCACCAAAUAGUGAGCUAUACAUUCAAAUUUUGAAAUAAUCAACGCACAAUAUGUUGAAAAAAGUUGGAAGGAGCUAUGAAAGUAAGGCUUUUCACUAAUCAGGCGUCCAGAGAAUCAAUAUUUUUACUCACGGAUCAGUUAGGGCGAACACUCCCCACCAAAGCAAUCUCAUUAGUACUUCACAUCUCAAACCAAACAGAAAUUGCAGUAACAAACAUGACAUCUAUUAGUCCUUCACAUCUCAAAUCCAGUAAGUACCCAUCUUUCGUCAGAAUCUGGAAAACAAGCAGCAGUGGAUUUAACAAUCUGGGUAUCUCAAAGUUACUCACUUUAAUCACAACAUAUAAAUGGGCAUUUUCUAGUGAAAUGUUAGUGUAGUACUCACUGUGUUGCUCCGAGCAAGAGUACCCAGAAAGCUCGAUGAGCUGAGCACAGAGGGACUGCAGUGGUGAAACGGCGACCGAUUCUGUAAAAUUCAGUCCGGUUUUGGGUGAUUUCUGAGGCUGAUAAGGAAAGCUGGGACGGAAGGGCACAAGUCUGGAAGAAAGGCUCUGGUCACCAUUGUCGCGAUUCGUGGAGGAAGAAGUGCCCCAAAACAAUUUCAGUCCUGAACAGGUGCACCGUUUGCACUGGGCCAGGGCCGACCCUGAAUCGCUAUAGCGUCCUUCUCCAAACAGUAUAUAUACAGAUGCUAGAAAUAUCUACCAGAACCAUUCAAAUCUAGCAUCUACAGCUUUAGCAUUUAGUUGGUACAAGGUACACUCUUCCGAAGGGAGAUGAAAUCAUUGAGGCUCUUAUAUAUUCCUCCUCUUGAUGUGCCCCUGUAGACUGCUAAUUCCAGACGAUCCAAUCUCAUACAUGUUCCCUGCAAAAGCAUGCGUGCCAGACUUCAAGAUCAAACUCGUUAGCGGAAUAAAUGGUGCACAAAGGGAUUUAAAAUCUUGACAUAUGUGUAUUUUUGGCAGAUUUUAUGCGAGCAUGCAACUAAAACUGGCAUCACUAUCAAUGGUGCACAAAGAUCGGCAGAAAAAACGUAAAGAGAAGCAAUCACAACGCAAAAUGUACGAAGUAAUCUGUCCACGUAUUGGGAAAACAUUAACACUGGAUGAGGGGAAUAAACAUGGAAUUUUGAUAAAAGUCAGAAUUUAUAAAUUGACAUGCAGUAAUUUUCUUGUUUGGAUUUAUAAACAUAUAAAUUUAGAAUUUCCGCGUGGGAAAAACAAAACUUGGAACUUAUGACCUCCAAUUCUCAAGUUUAAAUUUCAUGUAAAUAUGUGUCAUUUCUAAAUUUCCAUGAGAGAGUUUAAAGAUAACAAAUACUGUUAUUUCAAUUUCUAUCAUUUUAAAAUUUCUUAGUAAUCUUAAAUUUCCUCUUCCAAACAGAGUGUAACAGUUUGUAACUUCUCCAUUGUAUUUGUUCAACUAUGCAAUUUUCUGUAAAACUUAAAAGGCUGCUUAGCAUCUCUUGUUCGUUGUAUUGAAUACCAUGGUUUUACCGAUGAAUGCAAAGUUUGCUGAUGAUUCAUACGACAAGCAAUUGAAAAUCCCAUUAUUAUGCCCCACAUCAUUUACACAAAUUCAGAGGGCUCAUCCACUGUAAUUUGCAGGUACAGAAAUGUUAUGAUUAAAGGAAAUGCAAACUACCUUUCACCCAGAUUGGAGGAGCACCGGUGGCAUUAGCAAGUGAGCAACAGGAAUUGACAUACCAAUAUCUUCACAGUUUCCGCACAAGCACAAAUCAAAAGAAUCCGGCGGCGGAGUUAUGUACCUCUUCUUGGAAAAAGACACCUCUUGGGAUUUCAUAAAAUCCGGCUGUGCCUAGACGUCUGACCACGCCAAUUCCACCAAAGCUGCUGCAACGCGGCGUAGUGUCCGAUUGAUUGCUUCAAAACAGAGCUUCGUAUCCAUGUGUUUAUAAGCACAGAGUACCCAAAACCCCAGAAAAUUAUUUCUUUAUUCAGAUAAUAAAAUUUCGCAAAUUUCGAAUUUUAAUUCCGAACCAAAAAUAGGGUUUGAAUUUUGAUUACCUAGAAAUUGGGGGUUGGGGUGGAGAGGGACUGAGGCCAAGACGCAGCUAUGUGUCCGUGAUCAGGUGUGCCAAUUUACAGAGGGUGUCGGGAAGAUGCACAAGGCUUUUGCAGUUUCUCAGAUUUAAAUACUGAAGCCCCGUAAGGCGUUCAAUCCAGGGGGAAAGCUCUUUGAUAGAUGUUCCAUCCAAGAAAAGCGCUCUUAAUCCUUCCAUAUUUUCUUCAAUGCUUGGAAACACCUCAAACUUUGUACAACCGGAAAGAGAGAGAUAGACCAGGGACUUGAGCUGACAAAUGCUGCUUGGAAGACCCUUAAGUUCCUUGCAAUCAUCUAGCUUUAAAUAACUCAAUCCCGUGAGAUUAUUAAUUGACGAGGGCAGUUCUUUAAUUUUUGACCCGGAAAAAUAAAGAACUUUUAACCCCUCAAUCACUUCUGAAAUCUCUGGAAACAUCUCUAGACUCGAGCAACCAGAAAGAUUAAGAGUUUUGAGAGAUUUCAUACGAAUGCUGCUUGGAAGACACUUAAGUUCCUUGCAAUCAUCUAGGAGCAAAUGACUCAACCCCGUGAGGUUAUUAAUUGACAGGGGUAGUUCUUUAAUUUUUGACCCGGAUAACUCAAGCUCUUCUAACCCCUCAAUCACUUCUGAAAUCUCUGGAAACAUCUCUAGACUCGAGCAUCCAGAAAGAUUAACGGCUUUGAGAGAUUUCACAAGAAUGCUGCUUGAAAGACACUUAAGUUCCUCGCAAUGAUCCAAGCUUAAAUAACUCAACCCAGUGAGAUUAUUAAUUGACGAGGGCAAUUCUUUAAUUUUUGACCCGGAUAAAUCAAGAAAUUCUAACCCCUCGAUCACUUCUGAAAUCUCUGGAAACAUCUCUAGACUCGAGCAACCAGAAAGAUUAAGCACUUUGAGAGAUUUCAUACGAAUGCUGCUUGGAAGACACUUAAGUUCCUUGCAAUCAUCUAGGUGCAAAUGACUCAACCCCGUGAGGUUAUUAAUUGACGGGGGUAGUUCUUUAAUUUUUGACCCGGAUAACUCAAGCUCUUCUAACCCCUCAAUCACUUCUGAAAUCUCUGGAAACAUCUCUAGACUCGAGCAGCCAGAAAGAUUAAGGGUUGUGAGAGAUUUCAUACGAAUGCUGCUUGGAAGACACUUAAGUUCCUCGCAAUUAUCUAGGCUUAAAUAACUCAAACCACUGAGAUUAUUAAUUGAUGGGGGCAAUUCUUUAAUUUUUGACCCGGAUAAAUCAAGAACUUCUAACCCCUCAAUCACUUCUGAAAUCUCUGGAAACUUCUCAAGACUCAGGCAGCCAGAAAGAAAGGAAUUUAAGAGAUUUCAUACGAAUGCUACUUGGAAGACACUUAAGUUCCUUGCAAUCAUCUAGGAUCAAACGACUCAACCCCGUGAGGUUAUUAAUUGACGAUGGCAGUUCUUUAAUUUUUGACCUAGAUAAAUCAAGCUGUUCUAACCCCUCAAUCACUUGUAAAAUCUCUGGAAACAUCUCAAGACUCCAGCAGCCAGAAAGAUUAAAGGUUUUGAGAGAUUUGAUACGAAUGUUGCUUGGAAGACUCUUAAGUUCCUUGCAAUUUUCUAGGUUCAAAUGACUCAACCCCGUGAGAUUAUUAAUUGACGAGGACAGUUCUUUAAUUUUUGACUUGGAUAAAUCAAGCUCUUCUAACUCCUCCAUACCUUCUAAAAUCUCUGGAAACAUCUCAAGACUGGAGCAGCCAGAAAGAUUAAAGGUUUUGAGAGAUUUCAUACGAAUGCUGCUGGGUAGAAUCUUAAGUUUCUCGCACCCUUUCAGAUUCAAUAAAACAAGGUUUCUAAGAGUCCUAAUAGACUGGUGAACCUCAACUAAGCUUCUACAACCUUGAAGAAUUAGCCUCUCAAGAUUUGGCACAUUUGUGAAGUCAGGGGUUUCCUCAAGGUAUUGACAAUAACUUAAAUUGAUGACUUCCAACUUUUCCAGCGUCUGUUAAAACAUUUAGGAAAGCAUGCAUUACUUAAUAAGACAUCUCACUCAAAACCCAAACAUUUAAAAGAAACAAAUACAUGUAAAUGAUUGUACAUACCUGGGUUCCUUCCCAAAGUCGGUCAAUGAGACUAAAUUGCAUGUCAAGUUCAACAAGAUUUUUGAAUUGAAAGUUGGAUAGCAAAGACUUGAGAGGGAAUCCAAACCAGGAGAGAUACCUCAAGUUAAGUAACUUAAAGGGCCCAAUCAAGUGGUGUUUGCAGUAAUCAUGUUUAGAAAUGGAGUCCUUAUGACUGAUCUUGAUAAGUCUUAGUUGAUUCAUGCUAACAAAAGCUUCAGCAUUUAAGCAUACCCAGUCUGAGUACGAGAAAUCCACGAUUAUGCUUUCAACUGAUUUUGUAGCCUGUGUAAAUCAAAGUAAGGGAAAAUACAGAGAACCUUAGUUUAGAUUAUGAAACUAAUACUUGUUUCUUAAGGAGCCGUUUGAUAAUCAUUUUGUUUUUAGUUUAAUUGUUUUCAAUUUUCAAUUAUUAAAACAAUAAACACUAAAGGUUGUACCCAGUGCACAAGGCUCCCGCUUUACGCAGGGUCUGGGAGAGAUGAAUGUUGGCUAGCCUUACCCCCAUUUAUGGAGAGGCUGCUUCCAAGUCUCGAACCCGAGACCUACCGCUCAUGGGCGAAGGCACUUGUCAUCACACCAAGUGCGACCUCUUAUUAAAACAAUAAACACUAAAAAUUAAAAAUUAAAAACAAAAAUACUUAUCAAACGGACCUAAGAAAUUGAUUUUGAUCAAAAGUUGAAACUUUUUAUUGACAAUAAGAAAAAGAUUUCUCACCGUAUUUUGAGAUAGCACGUGAUGAACAUCUUCAUAACUACACAACCUACUUCGUCUCCCAGGCUCUUUGAUACAUUCUUGGCGGACGAUUUCCCGACCCAUUUCCUCUAAUGAAUCAUGCAUCUCCAGUUCCCCCUCCCCUGAGACAGUUAUGAGAGCUCGAUCGAUUAGAACUCUUAUUCCAGUAUAAGGAUGGAAACCACAAACUUCCAGAAUUCGGGUUGCACAGUCUUUCUUCAUCCCUUUAAAGAAACAUGCAAUGUCCAGAAAGAUGUCCUUCUCCUUGUCAUCUAGUCCAUCGAAGCUUGAUUUAAGCACAUCAUGAAUUCCCCUUCGUGGGAUUUUCCUUAUUUUUUCUAACUCAUCUUCCCACUCGCGUAUAGUUUUGUUACCAAGAAAAGCUCCCAAGACUUUGUGUGCUAAAGGCAGGCCUUGAGCAUAUUCUACGACAUGAUUCGAGAGAUCAUCAUAAUCUCUGGUAGGUUGGUUUUUUCUGAAGGCGUGCCGCCUAAAGAGUUUCAGAGCUCCAGAAUCACUCAAAAUCUUGGGAUUAUAUAUCACAUCAGCUAUGCUUAGUAAUUGCGAAUCUCUAGUUGUUAUAAUAAUUCUGCUUCCACAACCAAAGGAAUGUGGCUCUUCAAGUAAAGCUUCAAUUUGUUCUAAUUCGUCCACAUCAUCAACAACAAUAAGAACUUUUCUCUGACCAAGGCUUUUUAACAUCACCUGAAAACCAUUUUUUGAUAUGUCAGAACUCCCCACCUUGUUGUUCGAGAUAUUCGAUAGAAGUUGUGCCUGCAUAUGUAGUUUGCCAUGCUUCAUGAAACCUUCCUUGAAAUUUUCAAGAAAGCAACAAGCUUCAAAUCGAUUAGCGAUUUUAUCAUAAACAGCUCUAGCGAUGGUUGUUUUGCCUAAACCACCCAUACCCCAUAUUCCAACAACGCGAACAUUAUUCGUUUCACCUCCGGGAGGAUAUAAUAAUAAAUGCAUUUCAUGCAUGUGAGAAUCCAUGUCAACCAAGCCAUUAUCUUUGCUUGAUGUUGAUGAGAUGUCGAUCAAUUUCCUAUAAACAUCUUCUACAAUUUCCUCAAUAAGCACCGCAUCAUUUCUGUCAAAUUUAAAAAACAAUAUAAUAACACCACCAAAUGAUAAUUAAUGGGUCUUUUUCAUCUGUUAGUUUUCAAAAAAAUAGAAAUUAAAACUAAAAACUAAAUAUUUAUCAAAUUACCCCUAAACGUUACAAAAAUCCCAAAAAUUACUAGGAAACUAAAACAAAUUAGAAUUUACUCAUAGUUUCGCGAAUCCCAGCCGGCUAAACUGGUGGCAGUUGUAAGAGCGGAUCUCCAGCUCCGAACCUCCUCUAUUUCGGCGUUAGAAUCGAUAUCGUGCUGAGCAAAAGCUUCCGCGAAACUUUUCUUGAGUUUACGAACAUCAGACGGAUCAACUUCAUAGAAAAUGGGGAGUACAAUCUGGUUAUUGGUACCUUGCAUUCCAGGAUUUGCACGAGUUCCUUCAAGCACCAAGUGGAAGAAGCAUAGUUUUGAGAGAAAACUACAAUCGAAAGCCUCGACUCUUGAAUCGCUGUCAGGAGCUCGGAAAGGUGGUCGCCUUUUCUGAACUUUUCGGCAUCAAUGAAGGCGUUGAUUGGUUUCUUAGCCAGAGCGUUGUAGAGAUGGCUGACGAAGCCCCUGCGAGUGUCUUCCCCUCUGAAAUUGAUGAACACAUCGUAUUUCCAACCAAAGCCAGAAGAAGAAAAAGAAGAAGAAGAAGAAGCAACCAUUUAUCGAUCGCACCUGGUCACCGAUGAUCGAGCAGUUAUGACUAAGAGAAUUGUAAGUACAUAAAUACUCAAUGAGUCAAUGCAAAAGGGAAAAAGCGAAAAGGAAAUGGUUGUGAUAUCCAUACUUUAUUUUACUUUUUUAUACAUUUUUGAUAAUUUAUUUUUGUUAAUUUUUUUUAAUUCAUCUAGUUUUACAUUUAAAAAUUAAAAAAAUUUAUGAGAAGUUGAAAUGUGUGAAUAUCACGUCCAAAGGAAAAUUAUGCUUUUAUGUGUUUUCAGAUCUUCUUCAGGGAAAUUUCGAUGGGAAUGGAAUCUGCAUGCUUUUGAUUUUUAACCCAAGAAAAUGCCAAGAAAGGGGUCAAAGUAGUAAAUUUAAUCUACACUUGCCUACCCAACCACCUCUUAAUUUAAUAUAUUUAAUCGAGAAAAGUAGGUUAGAGGAAGGAUGGUAUCUCCUUUUCCUCUCUCAGUCUUCCAGCAUGCCAUUUAAUCAUGAUUAAGGCUAAAGCUUAAUUAUAGAUCUUGAUUGGAUUAUUAGUUUCCGUUGUAAUAUGGUGGUUAGAAGAUUAAAAAAAUUAUGAUUUAUGCUUUCAUAUGCUAACAAUUAAUGAAGAAUUAACAAAAUUUUAAAUUUUAAAUCUAAAUCCUAACAUAUUUUACCAUAGAAGCUUAAAUCUUAAUUUACUUAUCACAUGGAUUAUUUUAUAACUACCUUACUAUUAAUUCAAUUAAACCUAUUAUUUCUACGAAAACUAAAGAAAAGUUAAAAAAAAACUUUAGUUUUAAUGAAAAAAGAAAAAUGAAUGUGUAGUAAAUAAUACCAGAAAAAAAUAAAAAAAAUAAUUUUUUAUUAAAAAUAAACAGUAUAAAAAAUGUUGCAUUAAUACUCUCAUUAUUUAUUUACAAAUACGUGACUAAAUCACAAAGUGUUAGAAUGAAAGGGAGCGCUCAAAACGAUGAAAAGCAGGAGCACAGAAAGCUAUCUCCGUUUCUUUGUUGAGCGGACAACUGUUUAUUUGUCGUUCUUUUGGCAGAUAGCUCCUAAUGGCCCAUUUCCACAGCUGGUUAUAGGAUUCUGUUGCUAUAUAAGAAGUGUUUUGUUGUAAUUCAAUAUCGAUGGAAAUUCAACAGGAUCUUUUUCAAAAUUUUGUGAGGAUUUUGGGGUGUUCGUGAAUCUUGUUCAUCGUAUAUUGUGUAGUUGUUUUUUAUCGAAUAUUAUUUUUGUUUAAUUUUAAAUAAAGUAAUUUAAAAUAAUUUUUUACUGCAAGAUGUAUGAUGAACGUAUAUGAUUCACAGAUCUCCAAAAUCCUCACAAAGAAAAUCCAAAAAUGAUCUGAAUUCAAUGGAGAUAAGUUAAUUUUGAAUCAAAUAACAUUAGGAAAGAAAAAUAACAUUAGACGCCAGUCGGGCGAAGGAUUGGAGCCUAGUGCCUAGGCAGCUAGGCGAAGCCUGGGCGAUUAGGCGGCUAGGCGGCCUAGACGGUUUUAAAUAAUUUAUUGUAUAUUUGUAUAAAAUUAUUAUUAGCACUUCAAAAAUCUCAUUUUAUACUCCAAAUUUUCUAUAUUAAAAAAGAAAAAUACACUUAUGAUGAGUGUAGAAUGAGAUUUUUGAAAUGCCAAUACACUUCUCUAUUUUUAUUAUAUAAAUCAGUUGGACUUAAAAAAGAAAAUAAAGAAAAUAAAACAUUGUUCAAAAACUAAAACUCUAUAAAUAUAAAAAGUCAGGUCUUGAUUUAUCAUUACAAUUGAUAAAUAAAGGAGUGUGCUAUCUACACAACUUUUUUUACUUCUCACUCCUAAAUAAAAAAAUGAUGUGUGGAUAUCACAUCCCUAAAUAAAAUAUAUAAAUAUAGAUAGUUGGAGGAUAUCCAAGAGACAUUCUUUGGAGGAUUUUAGAGAAGAAAGGAGUACGAGUAUAUAUCCAAGCUAUAAAGGAUAUGUAUGAAGGAGCAAAGACUGCCGUAAGAACUCAUGAAGGACAAACCGAAAGCUUUCCCAUAACUGUAGGAUUACAUCAAGGCUCAUCCUUAAGUCCUUACCUUUUUGCGUUGGUAAUGGAUAAGUUAACAGGACAUAUUCAAGAUGAUAUUCCUUGGUGUAUGCUUUUCGCAGACGAUAUAGUGUUGAUAGAUGAAACUCAGGAAGGGGUAAAUGCAAAGCUUAACCUUUGAAGAGAAGUGUUGGAAUCUAAAGGUCUUCGCCUAAGCCGAUCAAAGACAGAAUAUAUGGAGUGCAAGUUCAGUACAAAUGAAGGCCAAAACGAGUUAGGGGUGAGGAUCGGAGAUCAAGAAAUACCAAAGAGCAACCGUUUUCGUUACCUAUGAUCUAUCUUGCAAAAGAACGGAGAAUUAGAUGGAGAUCUCAAUCAUAGAAUGCAAGCUGGAUGGGUGAAGUGGAAGAGUGCAUCCGGCGUGUUGUGUGACCGCCGUAUGCCACUGAAGCUCAAGGGAAAAUUUUAUAGGACGGCAAUAAGGCCGGUGAUGCUGUAUGGCACAGAAUGUUGGGCAGUGAAGCAUCAACACGUACACAAAAUGGGUGUAGCGAAGAUGAGGAUGCUUCGUUGGAUGUGUGGGCACACGAGAAAGGAUAAGAUUAGGAAUGAGGAUCCGGGGUAAAGUAGGAGUAGCCGAAAUUGAAGGAAAGAUGAGAGAAAAUCGGUUACGGUGGUUUGGACAUGUGCAAAGAAGGCCUACUGACGCUCCGAUUAGAAUAUGCGACUAUGGGACAGAGGUUCAGGGCCGAAGGGGUAGAGGAAGACCUAGGAAAACUUUGGAAGAGACUUUAGGAAAAGACUUAGAGUACUUGGAUCUAACGAAGGACAUGACACAGGACCGAGCACAAUGGCGUUCUAAGAUUCAUAUAGCCGAUCCCACUCAGUGACUUGGAUUUUCCAAGUCUCCAACCGAGAAGUUUUCCUCACUCGGGAAAUUAAGGGAACACUACCUCAACCUACAUGCUCCACUCACAAAGCUUCAACAAAAGAAAAUUCAAAGAACUUAGCGAAGAAUGAUUUGGUGUAUUUAACACAAACGUUGAAAUGAAGGAAAGCUUAUUUAUUGAUAUUCCCGAUAAGCUACAAAUAUGUACAUAUACAUAAGGUUGCUUAGGAGAAGUCUCAGCAGCCGGUAGAGCCCCAGAAAGAGAAGGCACCAGAGGGGGAUCAUUCGGAGCCUCAGAACUGGACAGAACCCUAGAAGGAUGAGGCAUCAAAGGUUGAUCAUUUGGAGCUUCAUUACGCGGUACAGCCCCAGAAGAUGAAGGCAAUAAAUGCCUUUGGAACAAACCCACAAAUCUCUGAUGAUCAAGUAAAACCUGACCAUCAGAUUCCUUCAUCUGGUCAAGCUUCCUCUUCAUGUUUGUAGCAUAGUCAUGUGCGAGCCGGUGCAACUGUUUAUUCUCAUGCUUGAGCCAUCUAAUCUCCUGUUUGAGACUCAUCACUUUAGCCGCCAAUGAUUCAACUUGGCGGGUUCAAGCAAAUAGGCGUUGGGCCGUAUUAGACACAGAACCUGCACACUGAACACUGAGAGCCAGCGAAUCCUUAACAGCUAACUCAUCAGACCGUUUGGAAAGUAGUUUGUUAUCUUUGGGAGUGAGAAGGUUCCUGGCCAUCACCGCAGCGGUCAUAUCAUUCUUCAUUACGAAAUCCCCAACGGUAAGAGGACCAGUAGGGGAGACGAAGGAUGUGCGCCAUAUGUUGUCUGGAGAAGGCGGGGCUGCCUCUUUAACAAGGUUCAAGUCAAAACGACGGUCGGAGGGGCCAGACAUUUUCAAAGGUGUUGAAGAGAGAAGAUGUCGGAUAAAUCAAGAUCUUAGAAGUGCAAGAAUGGAGCUUCUACUGGUGGAUUUCAAGUGUGCUUUAGAACUUAAUGACAGCCCCUAUAAAAAUCUGCACUCGACGGAGCUUCAGAAAUCGAAGAGGCGUUUGCUUUCUCAAAAGUUGGGCUGCUCAAAGACCACGAAGGCCAAUCUCAGAAAUCGAAGAGGCGCUCGCUUUCUCAAAAGCUGGGCUACUCAGAGACCACGAGGGCCGAUCUCAGAAAUCGAAGAGGCACCUACUUUUCCAGCCUUGUCAGCACCUGUCACACGCACACUCAGCUUUGCGGAAAUUAUGGGCAUUCUGUCGAAGACUUCUGGUGAAGUAAAAAGCACAUGAAUCUUACUGUUCAAUCACCCACUUCCCACACGCAACAAUAGCUCAUGGGUACCACAGAUAACUUUGCCAAAGUUGAGCACGUGAAGCUUGCAGCUCCUACUACAUCGCUCUGACCAAGAAGGGUAAAAGAAUAGCAAAGAAACAGCACUAACAAAGUUUAGACCCAUAAAUUUUGAAGGUCUAGCUACCAUAUUAUUACCCACAAGGGUAAAGGAACAGUACCACUGCUGGAUAAUUGGAAAGUCCCUGUGUGUCAACCUCUGUGCUUCGUGGCAAGGUAGACUAGCAAACAUGCCCAACCUUUACUCACAUUCGAGAAAACACUCCCAAUAAGAUUGCUUGCUCCAAAAUCGAAGAGGCACCGUCCUCCGAAUCUCGAGAGCCAGACUCCCAACAUGAAUACUUUCUCAAAAAAAUCGAAGAGAGGGUAAAGGAACAGUACCAUUGCUGGAUAAUUGGAAAGUCCCUGUGUGUCAACCUCUGUGCUUCGUGGCAAGGUAGACUAGCAAACAUGCCCAACCUUUACUCACAUUCGAGAAAACACUCCCAACAAGAUUGCUUGCUCCAAAAUCGAAGAGGCACCGCCCUCCGAAUCUCGAGAGCCAGACUCCCAACAUGAUUACUUUCUCAAAAAUCGAAGAGACACUGCUAUCCCGAAUCUCGAGAGCCAGACCCCCAGCAUGAUUGCUUUCUCAAAAAUCGAAGAGGCAUCGUUCUCCGAAUCAAUCGAAGAGGCGCUCGCUUUCUCAAAAGCUGGUGGGCUGCUCAGAGACCACGAGGGCCGAUCUCAGAAAUCGAAGAGGCACCUACUUUUCUAGCCUUGUCAGCACCUGUCACACGCACACUCAGCUUUGCAGAAAUUAUGGGCAUUCUGUCGAAGACUUCUGGUGAAGUAGAAAGCACAUGAAUCUUACUGUUCAAUCACCCACUUCCCCACACGCAACAAUAGCUCAUGGGUACCACAGAUAACUUUGCCAAAGUUCUCUGCCAAAGUUGAGCACGUGAAGCUUGCAGCUCCCACUACAUCGCUCUGACCAAGAAAGGUAAAAGAAUAGCAAAGAAACAGCACUAACAAAGUUUAGACACAUAAAUUUUGAAGGUCUAGCUACCAUAUUAUUACCCACAAGGGUAAAGGAACAGUACCACUGCUGGAUAAUUGGAAAGUCCCUGUGUGUCAACCUCUGUGCUUCGUGGCAAGGUAGACUAGCAAACAUGCCCAACCUUUACUCACAUUCGAGAAAAACACUCCCAACAAGAUUGCUUGCUCCAAAAUCGAAGAGGCACCGUCCUCCGAAUCUCGAGAGCCAGACUCCCAACAUGACUACUUUCUCAAAAAUCGAAAAGGGUAAAGGAACAGUACCAUUGCUGGAUAAUUGGAAAGUCCCUGUGUGUCAACCUUUGUGCUUCGUGGCAAGGUAGACUAGCAAACAUGCCCAACCUUUACUCACAUUCGAGAAAACACUCCCAACAAGAUUGCUUGCUCCAAAAUCGAAGAGGCACCGCCCUCCGAAUCUCGAGAGCCAGACUCCCAACAUGAUUACUUUCUCAAAAAUCGAAGAGACACCGCUCUCCGAAUCUCGAGAGCCAGACCCCCAGCAUGAUUGCUUUCUAAAAAAUCGAAGAGGCAUCAUUCUCCGAAUCUCGAGAGCCAGAUCAUCAAUAGGAUUGCUUGUUCGAAAACCGAAGAGGCACCACUUUCCCAACUUCAAGAGCCGGAUCUCCUUGGAUAAAGCUUGUCUAUAAUCUUCACACGGAACAUCAGCUUUCCAGAUACCACAGACCACUUUUUCAAAGUGCUCUGACAGAGUUAAAACAUGUGAAGCUGGCAGGUCCCACUACCGUGCUAUGACUAAGCAGGGUAAAGGAAUAGCAUUACUACUUGUUGUUAGGGAGACUCCUAUAUAUGUCGACCUCCAUCCCCAACGACAGGCAGACCUGCAAAAAUGCUCAACCCUUCCUCAUAUCUGAGAGGCCACUCCCAACGAAGCCUUUCAAAAUAUUCAGCUUUCUUCCCCCUCCCCGAUAAUACCUCUGCAAACAAGCUAUACUAGAGCAAGAAUAUCUCAUAUCAUCAGGGUUAAAAGCAAGAGUAUCCCAUAUCAUGCUUUUUCCCUGUCUUUUCCUUUGGCCUUGUUUUUACCUGCAAGACAAGGAGAAAGAGAGCAAUCAGUCAGCACUUGGAAUCAAGCUUCCAGCCAGGAACUGACUGCCUGGAACCCCUUACCUGAUUACUUACCUGGCAUUGCUCUCGAGUACUCAUCUUCAACAUCUUAUGUUUCCAGGGAAGAUUACCGCAUCUGCCUUGAGGAACAGAUAGGGCAAGUGCGAAGGAUACAAGGAAGCAUGUGGAGACAAGCGUAACAGCACACGUGCCGAUACAUCCAUUACUCUGUCAAAAGCAAAAGUAUCCCAUAUCAGCAGGGUCGAACGUACUCUAGAUUUGAUGGACUUGUUUUGACCCUCAAAUUCUUCAGUCGGCCUUAUACUCUGGAGGAAACCAGAAAACCCUCCAGCUCAGUUCAAGAAUAAGCCUGUGGAAAGUUACUUCUUCAAAAGCAAAAGUAUCUCAUAUCAUCUCUUCUCAUUUUUCUUCUCUUUAUCCUUCAUGCUGCCUGCAAGAUGGGGAGAAGGUGAACAAUCAGCCGGAGCUCUGAUUGCUUACCUUGUCUGUCACCUCUUUCAGCAGAUCCCCUAGCUCGGCGACUUGGGGGACUCCUACUACAUGGUUUGUAUCGCGCUUGACCAAGCCUGAAACUACAAGUAAGCUUCAAGUGAAAUUGAUACAUUACCUUGUGCAUCUCCACCAGUUAAAGAUACCACCCCUGGAUGGAGGAAGAGUACUUCCAGAGAAGAUGCCACAUCUACCUAUGAGACAGAUAAGGCAAGUCAAGACGAUACCACACUCCGAUACUUAGAAGUUUCGUGAUUACGAGAUCAUUCUCCCACAAUAUUUCCUAAUGUCAUUUGUACUAAAUCAUUCACUUGUACUCACUAAAGGAGAGCUUGAACCUAUGUACUUGUGUAAACCCUUCACAAUUAAUGAGAACUCCUCUAUUCCGUGGACGUAGCCAAUCUGGGUGAACCACGUACAUCUUGUGUUUGCUUUCCUAUCUCUAUCCAUUUAUAUACUUAUCCACACUAAUGACCGGAGCAAUCUAGCGAAGAUCACAAAAAGCAACCGUUUUCGCUACCUAGGAUCUAUCUUGCAAGAGAACGGAGAAUUAGAUGGAGAUCUCAACCAUAGAAUACAAGCUGGAUGGAUGAAGUGUAAGAGUGCAUCCGGCGUGUUGUGCGACCGUCGUAGGCCACUGAAGCUCAAGGCAAAAUUUUAUAGGACGGCAAUAAGGCCAGCGAUGUUGUAUGGCACAGAAUGUUGGGCGGUGAAGCAUCAACACGUACACAAAAUAGGUGUAGCGGAGAUGAGGAUGCUUCGUGGGAUGUGUGGGCACACGAGAAAGGAUAAGAUUGGGAAUGAGGAUAUCCGAGGUAAAGUAGGAGUAGCCGAAAUUGAAGUAAAGAUGAGAGAAAAUCGGUUCCGGUGAUUUGGACAUGUGCAAAGAAGGCCUACUGACGCUCCGGUUCGAAGAUGUGACUACGGAACAGAGGUUCAGGGCCGAAGGGGUAGAGGAAGACCUAGGAAAACUUUGGAAGAGACUCUAAGAAAAUACUUAGAGUACUUGGAUCUAACGGAGAACAUAACACAAAACCGAGCGCAAUGGCGUUCUAGGAUUCAUAUAGCCGACCCCACUUAGUUGGAAAAUGCUUUGUUGUUGUUGUUGUUGUUGUAUAGAUAGUUGGCGCUUUGUAGUGGGCGGUAAGUUCUAGUUUUACCAUUAAAAAAUAUACACUGUCAAACUAGUGUGGGUUCUAUCAAUUUUUUUAGUAUUUUAUUUAUUUUUUCACUCUGUCUCCGUGCCAUGGUCUUGAUAUUAUCACUCCUUUAAUAUUUUAUUCAUAUUUUAUUCUACUUGAUUUAUGAUGGUGUGUUUUUUUGACCAAGGUUUAUAAUGGUGUUUGUUCUAUAAGUCGGCAUAUUUGCCAACCGCAAUCGAUACUGUCGUUCUCAAACACAAAGCAAUAGUUUGCUACCGAAAACAACCAAAGUGUGACAAAGGGAACCGUCUUACACCUAACCUGUUUUUCCCUCAUCAAAUGAGCGCGUUGAUCUGCAGGUAUUUUCUGCCAUCUCAAAACCUGUUACAAAGAAAUAUAACGUUGAUGUCGAGCUGGAUAGCAUAUUAUACCAAUUAUGUGUACAAACCUAUUGAAAUAAAGUAGCUGUAGUUGCAUAUUACGACAGAUAUUAACGAAAACAAAAGAAGGCUCGCCUAUUCAAGAUCCUAAAUCCCGUGAUUCUUUUGUUUUUAGUUUCAGAAAUUUUCAGAGCACAAACUGGAAAGUACCAAGAUACUUACAUAUUGGGCAUAAUGAAAUGCAUCUUCAUCUUUCAAGCAAGAUUUGAGUGAGCGCAAACCGUCCUGAGAGUUACAUAAGUCAAUCAGUAAUAUAAAAACGUAUACGCAUCACAUCCAAACACAAGUAUUCAAACACCAACAACUUCUUCAUGCGGUGAGGCAUGUUAAAAAAUAGGGAAGAACAGUUAUUGAAUAGGAAGUUAAAGGACUAAAUUUAUGACCUUGUGUUUGUAGUUCUUGGCUCGUAUGCGUUCAUCUAUUACAAAACCAAUCUGUAACAGGUACAACAGAAAAUAUAAGCAGUAGUCAGAACAUUAAUCUUCGGCAUUCACAUUGCCACCAAUCCAAAGUUAAAAGUCUGAAGGCAAAACAGUAUGAUUCUUAUCUCUCAAACAAAAAUGAAACUAUACCCCGGUCUCAGACAUAAAUGAAAUAAGUUCUACUGCCUCAACUGAGUACUGUGAUUAUAUAUAAAUCCAAUUCACCUUGUCAAGUAAUCUCUUAGGAUCUUGAAAUGCUUCCUUCUUAGCCCAGUCAUUAAAUACAUGCGAGAAAAUUGAUCUCUCAUCCACACUGAAUCUAUUGCACAGUGACAGAAGAAUAAAGUUAAACAUGAACAUAACCAACCAAAAAUGCUAGUUAUAAUAGUACACCCAUAAUUGCAAGCAAAACCUUUUUAAGAAGCCAUUUCCAUGGUUUUCCUCCCCAAAUUCCAUCAAUUCUGCAGAGGCAACGUCAAAUUUACUAUGAUGGAGAUCAUUUUGCACUGUAAUAACUUCAGAAGGUAGGAGAUUUGGUUUCAGAUCAUCUGUUGACGGAGUAGUUUCUUUUGAAGUGUCAUGAUGCUUUGAUUGCAAGCCUUCUGUACUUACGUCAGCCUACAAAACAAAAAUUGCAUUCAUCCACACUAGACUUAAUAAGAUUAGAAACACUUCAGAUUCUUCAUUAUUUGUAUUUUUGACUAAACAGCAGAACAACUGAGGAUAAUGAACAGUAAUACACACCUGGACUUCUCGUAGAUGAUUUGGAAUUUCUUUCAGAAAUCGCGAAGGUUGAAGCAUCUGAAGGAGUCACCUUCUCAGUCAGAGCAACAACAACAAAUAAGGAGGACAGGAAUUCAAGCUAAAACGAACCUGCCAACUGGAAUCCAUCGUAACAUAAAGAAUGAAAAGCUUUUUUCGAGCACGAGUCAUUGCAACAUAUAAUAGGCGUCUCUCCUCCUAUGAUUAGAGUGGGAUUAUUGAGUUAUUGAUCAAAAGAAAAAAGAGUGGGAUUAUUGUGAAAAACAUGUCAAAGCUCUGCAUAUAACUGAAAAAUGUUGAACAAUUUACCACACACCUCAAUGGAGGUCCCAUUUUCUUUUGCAACCCCAUUGAAUUCAUGCAACAACGGGAUCUCAGAUUCAUUUACCUGUGUUAUUGGCAUGAGCAUUAAAGCAAGCUAAGAUGAUUUGAAGAGGUUGAUAUCGUCAUGAAUAUAGUAGAACAGAGAAUACCAAUUUCAAGCCAUCAAUUAGGUAUAGCAUUGGCAUGUUUAAUCCGUAAAAUCUAAUGACAGAACACCUCAACUCUACACAUAAAUAAAUAAACAACCUGAAAAAUAUUACAGCCACAUGUUAAGGCAAAUACCUUAAUUAUGAAAACUAUAUCCCACUCUAAACCUUUUGACUGCAAGAGAAUGAAAAAGAAAGACAGUAAGCCAAGAAUGUUUUGUAGAACUCCAAAGGAAGUCCAAUAGGGAAAUCAUCGCAAGUAUAAGAGUUAGCGAGGUUCGCAUAAGAGGAUAUCAAAAAGAUCUAGAACCUGAUGAAUAGUAGUCAAAGUGACAGAACUUUGGUUGUCAUGUCUUCGGGAGUGAAAAUUUUCACUCUCCUGCUCAGAUAUGUAGUCGAUGAAAGCUUUGAGUAAAUUAACGCAGCCUUUUUCUUCUGCUACGACUUCUCUCUCUCCCCUUUUCCCGCAACAAAAUGAGUUGAUAAGAAAUCAGAUACGUCGUCUAGUAGGUACUGAAGAACCUGCAAUGAGAAUAAUCGCAUCACAGCAACAGGGUUGGACCAAGAUUUAAGUGACAACAAUGAUUAACUAACUAAAAUAGAGAAAUUAUUCAUUUAAGACCUUGUUGACGGAAAAAAGGGUUUUCCAAGCAGCGGGUCAUUUAAGCUUAUUGUAUAAAUGACAAUCAUCACAAACGGCAAACUUACAGAUCUCACGUCAUUGUCUUCAUUCAGCAGUUUUCCUCCAUCUACAUCAACGACUGCACGUUGCUCAAGACGGUACUUCUAAAAAUUGAAAGUCAACAACAACAACAACAACAACAAAGCCUUUUCCCACUAAGUGGGGUCGGCUAUAUGAAUCCUAGAACGCCAUUGCGCUCGGUUUUGUGUCAUGUCCUCCGUUAGAUCCAAGUACUCUAAGUCUUUUCUUAGAGUCUCUUCCAAAGUUGUCCUAGGUCUUCCUCUACCCCUUCGGCCCUGAACCUCUGUCCCGUAGUCACAUCUUCGAACCGGAGCGUUAGUCGGCCUUCUUUGCACAUGUUCAAAAUCACCGGAGCCGAUUUUCUCUCAUAUUUCCUACAAUUUCGGCUACUCCUACUUUACCUCGGAUAUCCUCAUUCCCAAUCUUAUCCUUUCUCGUGUGCCCACACAUCCCACGAAGCAUCCUCAUCUCCGCUACACCCAUUUUGUGUACGUGUUGAUGCUUCACCACCCAACAUUCUGUGCCAUACAACAUCGCUAGCCUUAUUGCCGUCCUAUAAAAUUUUCCCUUGAGCUUCAGUGGCCUACGACGGUCACACAACACGCCGGAUGCACUCUUUCCAUCCAGCUCGUAUUCUAUGGUUGAGAUCUCCAUCUAAUUCUCCGUUCUCUUGCAAGAUAGAUCCUAGGUAGCGAAAACGAUCGCUUUUUGUGAUCUUCGCUAGAUUGCUCCGGUCAUUAGUGUGGAUAAGUAUAUAAAUGGAUAGAGAUAGGAAAGCAAACACAAGAUGUACGUGGUUCACCCAGAUUGGCUACGUCCACGGAAUAGAAGAGUUCUCAUUAAUUGUGAAGGGUUUACACAAGUACAUAGGUUCAAGCUUUCAUUUAGUGAGUACAAGUGAAUGAUUUAGUACAAAUGACAUUAGGAAAUAUUGUGGGAGAAUGAUCUCGUAAUCACGAAACUUCUAAGUAUCGGAGUGUGGUGUCGUCUUGACUUGCCUUAUCUGUCUCAUAGGUAGAUGUGGCAUCUUCUCUGGAAGUACUCUUCCUCAAACGAUAAAUUAUUACGAAGCAUUGAAUAUAAGCAUGAAACGAAGAAAAUGUUAUGGAAUGGUGAUCCUCAUCCUCAAAGAUGAUUAAAAGCAAUUUGAUUCAAAAAUGACAUAUCAACUCUGGAGAAAUGGAAGACAAACCUGUGGUACCAUAUUCGCAACUGAGGUUAUGACAGCUGAAAUCGAUUGUUCCUGUGUGCAUUGAUAAGUGAGACUACCAUAGAGAUUCACAACUAAAUAAAGACAGGUAUUCCACAGAACAACCUUUACCUCUUUGGAAACACAGAUCUAACAAAAACUAUAACAUUUUGGAUUAAUAUUGACGAAUCAAGAAUAAUGCAAGGGAGCAAGAGAUACUCUUCCUUCUAAUAACAAGGAGGCGUGAAAAGUAUACAGAGUUCCAACAAUUAGAGAACUAAAAUCAAACUAAAAAAAUCACCAAAGUAGACAGAAUCUCACUUCGCCAAAAAUUUGAAAAUAUAUCCUUUUUAUCCAUUGAGAUUCAUGAACUACUACUACUACUACAUCAUGCCAAUAAGCAAUGCGUAAGAGGUGCUACAAUUUACCGAAUAUAUUUACCCUGAGAACAAGUUUUGAAAUCAUCUCUAGUGUUAACAGCACCUUGCGUCCUUGGGUAAGCUGAGUCCUAUUAUCAAGUAAAGAGACCAAUCAGUACAUAUCCAAAAGAUCUUAAAUGCUUGUAAUACCAAAUAAGAAAGAAACAUGAGUAUAUCUUGAAUUAACCAUGUAAAAAUGUAAUGUUAAAGCAUCUUGUCAUACAGACCUCUUCAAGGUACCAGAAAUUUUUGCACUAAAGAUGUCACAAGCAGCUGAUAUGAAGCUGCAUUUUCUGUGAGUUGAAAUUUUGUCAAUAUAAUCGAUCACCUGAAGAGAGAGAGAGAGAAAAAGACAGUGAUAUCCAGAGAUGUGAGCCUAAAUGCUGAGUGUGUAAAAAAAGAAGAUUAAAUGGAUAGCAAGAAUAUACAACUUUAAUGCUGAAAAGAACAUUGAAUAUGAUGCUCAUUCAUCAUUCCCAUUGAACGUGUACCUUCUUCUUUUCCUCUUUCUCAAAAGCAAGUAGAGCCUUGAAGACUUGCCUAUAUGAUCCAUCAUCACAACCAGGCAAAGUUGUUUUAAUCAUAGCAACAAUGGCUCUAACUACCUGCCAUAAGAAACAUGCUACAUCAACAAGAUCACAGAGUGUACCAGAAACCGUAAUGUAGCAAAAUCUUGGAUAAAAUAGCUGACCAAAAGGGAAUGGAAAAGCAAGCACGAAAAACAAUGAAAAGGACCAGUGAUGCCAAAAUUCUGGUGGAAAAGGUGAAAAGCUUCUGCCUAUUACAAUUUUUGUAUGCAUUCUUUAUAACUUAAGUUCUACUAGCAAAAACCACCUUAUGCAAAAUAAUAUUGGAAAAAUUAGAUACAUACAACUGAGAAGAUAGGUUUUCAUAAUCUGGACAAGUGCUAACUACCUUCUUCCUAUAAACUGCCACUCCAUGAACAUUAAAUGGUAUUUUCCUUUCACGCAAGGCUGUCUGGAAGACUUUUCCUGAUACCUGUAGCAUAAAAUACAAAAGAAAAUGUGACCAAAAUGUCUUAUAUGAUUCACCUCAUUCACAUUAGCACUAAGGCAAGUAAGCUUGACCUGCCUCCGGUAAAGGAUUGCUAUAUUUCCAUAGGAGCACCCUGCUUCUGACCGUUUCGAUGCAGUCUCCAGGAUCUUGUCGACAACAAAGGCGCAUUGUGCAUCCUCAUUGUGACUUUCCUUGAUAAUUACCUACAUUUUGCCAGUAAAACCAGUGUCACUAACUAAAAGGACUGAAAAAUGACAUCAAAUUGUACUUGUUGGAGCAAGGAAAGAUUAAGUACCUUAGACCCAGAAGAAUUGUCCGUGUCAACAUUCUUUAGUUGGCAUCGCUUCUUAUUGUUUUUUAUAACAGAAGAUGCAGCUUCCACAAUAUAGCGUGUGGACCUAAAGUUUUUAUUAAGCCUAAUCUGAACCAUAAAGUUAUGUCAAAUCCCACAGAAACCCAUAAAAUAAAACUUACUUUCCUGUAAUUGUACAAUAUAUUUGUUCUAUACUAUAUAUAAUGAAAAAAGACACUGUGAAUGACAUAAGAUAACAUAGCAGUCAAGUGCGAAGCGAACCUCUUUGUAAUUUGAAAAAUCUUUACGAAAAGAAUCAAAUCCAGAAAUGUCCGCCCCAUUGAAACUGAAAAUGGACUGCAGCAGGAUAUAUGUUAUUUGAUUUAGAACAGAUAAGGGCUGGAUUAGAAUGAGCUGAGAGAGAGAGAGAGAGAGGGAGAGAGGGAGAGAGGGAGCAAUAACAUUGGAUUUCCAUAAUAAAUCAACAACAUGCCUGAUCAUCAUCACCAACAAUGGUUAUGUGGUUAUGAGAGGCGAGAAUCCGCAAAAGACUAUAUUGCAUAGCACUUGUGUCUUGAAACUCGUCUAUUACAAUAGCUUUCCAUGACUCCUGGCACUCCUUCAACACUAAUUAAGAGAACACCAUGUAUCAACAUUUAGCAUUACUUGUAAAACUAGAUAAAUCAAUGAAAUAUACUUAGAUGAUAGAGACCUUCAGGAAAAUCACUUAGCAGCUUCACAGAGCAGCUAAUUAAGUCGUGGUAGUCCAAAGCGUUGCACGAUUUCAAGAUAUCAUUGUAAUUCCUAAGAAUUUCACCCUGAUUCAGAUUGAGAGCUAAAACUCAUAAGCAAUAGUUUCAAAGAACUGAAAUGAUAUCUGAAAUUCUAGUUCUGAGCGUACUCCUGUCACAUCACCCAUUCUUCGGCAUUCAGCGGGAGUCUUUCCAGAAGCUUUUGCCUGAAACAUAAAUAAAUUUACUGCCUAAUGCCACAUAUUGUAAGACACACCAUUGUAUUGGUCAUUCUAGCUUGAUUGUAGCUAAUAUUUUUUAAAUCGAAUGAUUAGAGUUCUUAAUCCACAAUAAUCUGAACAUUAAAUUUGGUAUUCAAGACUAACCUGUGUCACAAACUUCAGCCAUUUCUUUGAUGCAUCCUUAAAAUGAUGUGGAGAUGUUACGCCGUCAGACUCUUCCCCAUCUAUAGCAACAUUAAGAUUCGUUUUACUCUUUUCAUCUUCUGAUAACCGCACAGCUUCAAUGAUUGCUCUUCUCUGUUGCCCAUGUCCAUAUAUCAAAAAUUCUGGUCUGCGCUUGAGUCUAAAACACAAGCCAACAUAACAGACUCAGCUAUACCACCAAAUGUAUGGUGUUCAAAAUCAAGGGAGGUGAAUCAAUAGCUUACUUCUCAGCAUGUGAUCGGCAAAGUUGCAAUGAAAAUGAAUGAAAUGUACUGAUUGUUAGUAGUUUUGCCGUUGCUUUCCCAGUCACAGAUCCAAUUCGAUCUCUCAUCUCGGAAGCUGCUGCUGUAGUGAAAGUCAUUGCUAGAAUGUUCGACGUGCUAAUGCCCUAAGAACACAAAAAAAAAAAAAAAACGAAUAAGAUUUCGAUCAUAAACAAGAAAUGUAGAGAAACACACAAUUACGAAAGAAAAAGUUAGAGGGAAAGUAGCAACACCUCAUUGAGCAGCAUUAGAACGCGCCCAACUAUCGUUGAAGUCUUUCCACUUCCAGGGCCGGCAACAAUCAUCAAAGGUACUGAAAUAUAGCUGCAAGCUGCCUCACGCUGCCUUUCGUUGAGAGAAAGCAAAUACUUCAAAUACUCAUCCGGCAUGUUAGGCAAUCCAUGGUUAACAGAAUCUGUUUGGUUUUCACUACUCAAAGGCGGCGCUGAUGGCACUAACGUGUUAUGACCCAAAUUAUUACUGAGGUUUUAUGCUUUAUUACUGUGAGGAAUUGUUAAUAUACCAGCUGGCAUUUAAAAGUGUAGAGGUUUUAUAAAAGGAGCCCCAGCUCCCCCAAAUGUAUCAGAUCAGAAUUUUACAAAAGAAAUCAAUAUUGGAGCUCUGCUCCUUCUUCUCUCCUUCCCUCUUCUUCCAUAGCUUUCUUGUGCCACUUACAGGUUGAUUAAGGGAAUUGAGAAUUAGAUCUUAUCAAUGGUAUCAUCCUUCUCGAAUCCUGGUUUCCCUCCUGUGCACACCCACCCACCUACGUUUUCUGCCAUGGUUGCUGCGCCCAAGGAUUCGCUUCGCGAGACCCUGGAUGCUCUAUUCGCACCCUACCUGGCUAAGAUCCGCCGUGCCCGUGAGUUGGCUCUCAGCGCUGAGGGAGACUCCACUCCAACCCUUAUGUUCGCUAUCAGUGAUGGGGGAGUUCCUGAUCCAGCCCCGAUGAUUGCCGAUGACGCUGCAGGAAUCGAUCUCGGUCAGAAAAUAAUUCCACGAGUCGCUGCAUCAACUAAUCAGAUUCUGCCGUUGCUCUCGUCAUCGCCGUUAUUGCGAGCACUAGCAAAUCCUCCUGUCAGGCCACCGUCGAACUCAAACGCUUCAUUGGCAAAUUCGCCCAGCCAGCCGCUACACUCAAAUGAUAUUGUAGCAGCCACAAUUCCAUUGCGGAAUGUUGAGAAAACCAGGCCCGUUGCGAUUGUGACCACAAUGCCGCUAUUUCCGAUUUCAGCAACCUUUAGCACUGAAUCAGCCCACGCUCACAAUCACAACCUCGUUUUGAGCACCAAGGAAGCUACAACAAUGGCGCAUGUUCUGGGUUUUCCUCUCAAGAAAGCAGGAGCUACUAAAUCUGUAGGUAUAUCUCAUACAAACACCACGAAGCGUCGACACGAGGUAUUGACAUCCUUGCUUUCCAAUUCUACAAAUCGGAAGGACAAAUGGUAUUGGGUUUUGCAGGUUAUUUUGGCAUAUUAUACUGGUGUUAUUGUGAUAAUGUAUGACGACUUCUUAACUGAUAAAUGUGGAUGGGGUAAUUGGUACCUUGUGGGACAAUUUGUGUUACACGCGCCCCUAAUUUAAAUCGUAUUUUUACUAAAUUUGAGUUUAUCUUGCUUUUAAAAUUAUUUUUGGGUUUUAAAUGGUGUGCCCAAGGCCCACCCCCUGUUUUGUCCCCCGUUCCCUUUCCCUUUCUUUUAUUUAUUUUCUUCUUUCUUCUUCUUCUUCUUCUUCUUUUCUGUUUCUUUUUCUUUCUUUUCCGUCUGUCCCUCUCGGCUCUCUCUGCGCCCUCUCUUCUCUGCACCGCAACAAGCACACGCACGCACCCAUUGCACCUGCGCGAGGAAGACCAUCAUCAUCUCGUCCUGCUCUCUCUCCCUCUCGUGUUUGCGAACCCAGAAAAUCGGAAAGGAUCUUCCGCGAGAUUUUUAUAUUUUCCGGUUAGGUAAGCCUCAAAUCCCUCUCUUUCGUCCUAGAAUCUUUUGAGAAUGGGUUCUAAUUGGUUUUAUUUCGUGAUUUUUGGAGGUUUUAGGAUGAAAACAAACUCGGGUGCAGGAACACCCAUUUCCGGCGAGGAACCCGCCACUUUCGAGUUAAUCUCCGGCCAAACCACGGCGAGUUGGCCGGCGUGCAAGGUAUCAAUCUCUUCGUCUCGUCGAUUACUACAACUUUCCUUUUUGUUUCACCCAAUUUCGUUGAGUAUUGAAGAAGUUAUACUCAUUUGAAUCUUACCCAGUUUCCGGCGAGUCCGACGGCUUUCGAGGCGUUUUCCGGUCAAACCACGGCGAAUUAGACGUCGUGUGAGGUACCAUUCUCUUCGUCUCUUCGAGGGCUACAACUUUCGUUUUUGUCUCGCUUGAUUUCGUUGAGUUUUAACAAAGUUAUAGCCAUUUAAAAUUGGGUGGUUUUCCGGCCGAAAUUCCAGCCUUCUUCUUCCUCGGGUCCGGCGACCCAUCAAACUUGGGCCCUUUGGGCCGUUUCUGUUAAGGGCUUUAAGCCCAAACCCUAAACCUUUGGGCUUUAGGACCAAACCCAAGAACCCAAACCCUAUGACCCAAACCCGGAUCCAAGCCCAGACCCGUUUGACCUGGUCCGACCCGGAUCCUGACCCGUUGACUUUGACCGGUCAACGUUGACUUUUCUAGUUGACUUUUCGGGUUUUCGUCCAAGACCUUCCUAGGCUAAUUUCGACGUCCUGGAUCCGUUUUUGAAGUUCGUUUUCCCAAAUUCAAUCGUUUGAGUAGAGUUUGACUAAAUGGAUCAUUUAUGUGCUUAGGUGAAUUUAAUGACGGCGGUUCCGUUAUUCCUAUUUGGUAUGGCGUUGCACCAACGGUGUACGGUGAGUGGACCCCUUCUAAAAUGCAUGUUUUAUAGUAGAAAUGCAUACAUAAAAAGUAUGAUUUGAUGAUUACCUUUUAUGAAACGUUUUGUGAGAUAACAUGCUUAUUGAGGCUACUUUAAAUUAUUACUAUUUUUCCUAUAACCCGUGUUCUUAUAGAAUAUCUGAUGGAUGACGAUAUGAUAUUAGAACAUGUUUAGAACACCUCUUUAUAGUAUAGAUGAUGGAUGACUUUAUACUAUGAAGUUGUUUUUCAAUAUAUAUGUUCAAUGGUUUUGUACUUACCUAGUGGUCAUUUCCGCUACGGGACGUAGGGAUAGAUUCCGGUCAUUCCCGGGCGACGGUUUGGUGUUGGCAUAGGGCCUGGAGUGUGUUUCCUCUGGCUAUUUAGCACAGGGACGGGGAGCCGGCAUGGGGCCUGAAGUGUAUUUUCCUCUGACUGUCUGCUCAGAGACGGGGAGCCGGCAUGGGGCCUGGGGGUUAUCGGACAAUUCACUAGUGAUUAUUAUAUAUAUAAAAGUUAUGAUUUGAGACACUGCACAUCAUGCUAGGUUUCGGAAAACCUAUGUUUAUCAUUAUAUAUGUGUUUUCAUAAAACUUGGGGGUUAGUACGUUGAUAACUGUUUUGUUAUAUUUAUAUCAAAUUGGUCCACUCAUGUUUGUUUUGCGCCCCCUUCAGGAUUUAGGAUCGAGGCGUACAAUCCCGGCAAUCCAGGCACUUCCGCAUCGGUAUCUUCAAGUCCUCUCGGUGUAGAACCCACUUCUGUGUUCAUUCAAUUUUUAUAUUAAUUCUUUUAAUGUUCUAGAUUAGAUGUGUGCUCUGAACACGUUCCUUAAAUGCAUAUUCUUUAUUUAUAUUUAUAAGUUUUAUCUAUCCUUUAUUUUCAGCAAUUGCACUCAAUAAAUGGCUUUCGUCGCCCUCGGGUGUCGGCCAGCACGUGACCAUCCUGAUAUCCUGAGGAUAUCGGGAUCGGGGCGUGUCAGAUUGGUAUCAGAGCGUGGUUUGUUCAGAGCAUACUUAGGAUCCUCUUCUAUUAUCGUAGAGUGUUGGUUUUGACAUCAUUUGGAUGUCCAGACUUCUAGAUUUGGUGCCAUUCGGCGCAGUCGUGCGAAUCUUCCUCUAUUUGAAUUGUCACAUUCGGGUUGAUAUACAAGAAUUUGUGUCGGGAUUGUGCCUCAUCGGUGACGUGUUUGAAUUGUUGGACGACUUUCAGCUUCAGAUUGAUACUCUACGACGUGCAUUCCCUGGGAAUGACGGGCAUAGUCGGUGUUACUUGGAAGCGACGGAUUUUAGAAAUCUCAGCUUAAGGAAGUCUGGUCAAGACCAGCUGUAAAUUCGAAAUGGCGAUGCCACUCUACAACAUGCGUUCCCUAGGAAUUGCGGGCGGAGUCGGCUUUGCAUCGAAAUCUUGGGAAGCGGAAAAAAAAUCUUGGCAGUACGAAUUGACUAAGACCAACUGGAGUUCUGAAGCGGUGUUGUACUCUGCAACAUGCGUUCCUUAGGAAUGGCGGGCAGAGUCGUAUCUCUUUAGAAAUUACUCGAAACUUUCGAAAUGCAGAUUGAAGAAGCGAGUAAGUGCUAGUGGUGACGACGGUUAGUAGGUGGUAGUUGGUGGGAGCAAAAUCAAUGUUCUCGAACUCAUUACCACUGAAGAAAUUUGGGUGAAUCUUUAUAACAGUUCUCUGUGAUUGUUUUAUCGAUUACCUUCUCGUUUAUUCCAACGACGAAGUCAAGUUCACUGACCUUUGAUCGUCAGCUUCACAUCAAAUCCCUCGAGAGUUGACUUCGUCUAGAGAUUAUACUUUUCUUGGGAAACUCCUCGGUAGCAGACGUUAUUCUCAUCAAUUUCGAAAUGGAGUUGCGAUUCUUGUUGUUGUUGUAGUUGAACUUGGAUAAUGAAGAUUCAGCCUUGUUUGGAUAAACAAAUUCCUUGAACUUCACCUGGGUUUGGUACUUGGUAGUAAACCCUAGUUCCUCAUCCGUGUACUUUUCAGUGAAGGUGAACUUAGUCCCUUGCUUGCAACCUAACUGUUCAGCCUUGUAAUUUUCAGCGUAAUGGCUUGAGACUCUAUCAUAUUCAUCAUUGUACGAAGAUCGAGCUUUACUCUGAACUUCUCUGGGCUCGUUAAGCUUUGAUUUGCUCAGAGGCAUCACUUUAAGGUAGCCAAUCGUGUCACUGCAUGCAUACACAAGCUGCUUUGUAUCUUUCUUCUUCGUUAUUCUGCUGAUUCAGAGGUUUUAUGUUUAAUUUCUGAAUUUUUAAAUGACUAUCGCGAAGUACCGUGAAUCUCGAAAUGUCUUUGGCCUCGUCAAAUCUUAUUAAUAGUUCUUGACUAUUCUUGAGAUUAGACUUGUUCCUUUUGGCUAAGAAACCAGUCGACCUUAUUGUGAUGAGUAGCCAAAUAAUCAUAAACAGUAACUUCUAUUUCUGCAUCUUCAUUUUCCUUCGUUUGUUUGUUUGUUUCUCAAUGUGAACUGGAUCAUGCCGGGACAUUACACGAAGGGUGUAAAAAAAAAAAAAAAAAAAAACGUUUGUUCUCGGCGUGGUUUCUAGUUCAAAUCCGGAUAUCUUGUACUCUAUAUUUAAUGGACUUGUUUUGAACCUUAAAUUCCUGAGUGUUCUUUUAGCCUUAUCGACAUGGUUUCUCUCUCAAUUAGUGAGAAAUUCAUGAUCGAUGGUUUCGGCGGAAGUGUGCGCCCAAUUCUUAUCGAUUUGGACAGGAAUGUUGGGAGCAUAAUCUUUUCACAAGCUUACUAGACUUACCAGAAAGAGUUCCACGUGGGUGUGAAGUUUGAGUUGUCUUUUGGUAAGAGACUGGUGAAGAUUGUGGUGCAGAUGAUUAGCAGAUUGUAUCACUAUCUUCACGCUGAAUUGAAUGGUCACCAUUCAUUAUCCUGCUGCAAUUCAUAAUCAUCAUAUCUUACUCUGGUAGACAUUUUUGAUGAUGUGUUCGCCUCAACGCAGCUUUCCACUACCUCUCACCAGGAUCCUUCGGUUCGAGAGCACGUGGGCGUGAGGUUGAGCGGUCUUUUAGUAAGAGUUGGUUGAAGGUUUUAGUUCAGAAGGUCAGCAUAUUGUAUCACCAUCUUACUAGAAUUCAUAGGCAUCACAUCGGUUAUUUUCCAACGAUAUGUGUUCGUGUCAAUGCAUACUUCGACUGCUUCACUUCUGAACCUUAUUCUUGUGAGUAUGUGGAUGUUGAAUCACUUAUAGCAGAUUUGUUUGGUGCACUCUGGAAUGGCACCACAACGUAGUUGAGAUAAGAAUCGGAAGAUCUUUGCACUUUUUGCGAAUGGUGUGUGCUCUCAUGGGGUGUUUAGGUUGAUUGCAUGAGAGUCAUUCUUUCCUCCAACAUUGAUCUUGUUUGACUAGAAAUCUGCAACUAAGCAAAAAUGGAGAGGUGGAUUGAGCACUACAACAGUUCCCAAGAGAUACUGCGUGUUGAGGAAGAUGACUUCUCGUUUUCUGCUUACCUAGUUCGAGCUUUUGGGUCUACUACUAACAUGGUGGCCACUUCUCUUGAAUCCCAAAGUACAGUUUCAAAUGGGUUCUUUGUUGGCAUAACUCUGGAGUAGUUGGUCACAUUUGGAAUAACUGAGGAAGAGGUUGUGCUUGGUACUAAAGGGAGUUAGUAUGACGAUAGUUAUUGGUUUUGUUCGAUUUGGGUAUGGCACUAUUUGCGACAUGGUACGAGAGUUGCUACACGCAACAUUGGUUGAUAGAGGAGACGUGCAAGCUUGUACUUGGAGGAUCGAAUUUUCGACGUGUGAAAUUGUGCACCCUCAGGAAAUUACUGCUUGUUUACUGAGACAACAAAUGUGUGGUCGAUAUCGCGGGCGGCCGACUGUGGUAUCGAUAAUUUAUUUGUUGGGUUCGUUAAGCAAGUGGGGCAGGAAUAUCCUUUUACGGCAGCCGUUAAAGAUUCACUAUUGUUAGAACUGGACCCAAAGACACAUCUAUUUUCGGAGUACGCGACGUUUCGAAUUCUUGGGCAAGACCCACUCUCAUUCUUCAGUUUUGGUUUUCAGUAUAAGUAUUUUAACCUCAUUUACUCUAGUUAAUUGUUUUGCCAUUACAAAUGUUUUUGGAAAAGUAUUUCCGUUUUCAGUUUUUAAGUGUAGCUCGAAUUUUCAACCUAUAUGUUGGUACAUAUCCAUUUUGACGUUAUCGUAUGUUAUGUUCUUACUUUUGACCUUAAUCUAUUUUAUGUUUUCGACUUUAUAUCUUUAUAAAGUAUGUUUUCUACUUUUACACUGAUGGGGAAGAAAGUAAGCUUGGAGGCAUGAUAGAGGAUUUUGCAACCCGCUCGCGACGGUGUGGUAUAUUCUCUUUGAUGCACCCACUCUGACUUGAUUUCUCUUUAUACAUAUAUUCUUCUUACUAUUUUCGUGUAUUUCAGUUUAGUAGGUGAUUUUAAAUUUCGGGGACGAAAUUCUUUUUAAGGGGGGUAGAUUGUUACACCCGCCCCUAAUUUAAAUCGUAUUUUCACUAAGUUUGAGUUUAUCUUGCUUUUAAAAUUGUUUUUGGGUCUUAAAUGGUGUGCCCAAGGGGCCCCACCCCCUGUUUUGUCCCCCGUUCCCUUUCCCUUUCUUUUAUUUAUUUUCUUCUUUCUUCUUCUUCUUCUUCUUCUUUUCUGUUUCUUUUUCUUUCUUUUCCGUCUGUCCCUCUCGGCUCUCUCUGCGCCCUCUCUUCUUUGCACCGCAACAAGCACACGCACGCACCCAUUGCACCUGCGCGAGGAAGACCAUCAUCAUCUCGUCCUGCUCUCUCUCCCUCUCGUGUUUGCGAACCCAGAAAAUCGGAAAGGAUCUCCCGCGAGAUUUUUAUAUUUUCCGGUUAGGUAAGCCUUAAAUCCCUCUCUUUCGUCCUAGAAUCUUUGAGAAUGGGUUCUAAUUGGUUUUAUUUCGUGAUUUUUGGAGGUUUUAGGAUGAAAACAAACUCGGGUGCAUGAACACCCAUUUCCGGCGAGGAACCCGCCACUUUCGAGUUAAUCUCCGGCCAAACCACGGCGAGUUGGCCGGCGUGCAAGGUAUCAAUCUCUUCGUCUCGUCGAUUACUACAACUUUCCUUUUUGUUUCACCCAAUUUCGUUGAGUAUUGAAGAAGUUAUACUCAUUUGAAUCUUACCCAGUUUCCGGCGAGUCCGACGGCUUUCGAGGCUUUUUCCGGUCAAACCACGGCGAAUUAGACGUCGUGUGAGGUACCAUUCUCUUCGUCUCUUCGAGGGCUACAACUUUCGUUUUUGUCUCGCUUGAUUUCGUUGAGUUUUGACAAAGUUAUAGCCAUUUAAAAUUGGGUGGUUUUCCGGCCGAAAUUCCGGCCUUCUUCUUCCUCGGGUCCGGCAACCCAUCAAACUUGGGCCCUUUGGGCCGUUUCUGUUAAGGGCUUUAAGCCCAAACCCUAAACCUUUGGGCUUUAGGACCAAACCCAAGAACCCAAACCCUAUGACCCAAACCCGGAUCCAAGCCCAGACCUGUUUGACCUGGUUCGACCCGGAUCCUGACCCGUUGACUUUGACCGGUCAACGUUGACUUUUCUAGUUGACUUUUCGGGUUUUCGUCCAAGACCUUCCUAGGCUAAUUUCGACGUCCUGGAUCCGUUUUUGAAGUUCGUUUUCCCAAAUUCAAUCGUUUGAGUAGAGUUUGACUAAAUGGAUCAUUUAUGUGCUUAGGUGAAUUUAAUGACGGCGGUUCCGUUAUUCCUAUUUGGUAUGGCGUUGCACCAACGGUGUACGGUGAGUGGACCCCUUCUAAAAUGCAUGUUUUAUAGUAGAAAUGCAUACAUAAAAAGUAUGAUUUGAUGAUUACCUUUUAUGAAACGUUUUGUGAGAUAACAUGCUUAUUGAGGCUACUUUAAAUUAUUACUAUUUUUCCUAUAACCCGUGUUCUUAUAGAAUAUCUGAUGGAUGACGAUAUGAUAUUAGAACAUGUUUAGAAUGUCACAGCCCGUCCCGGGAUUUCUAUAUCGGGGGCGUGAAUUGACGUAACUACCCUUGACGGACAUUCGGGUACGUGUGUGUGCGACAUUAUUGAAUUAAUUUUGUAAGUUUUGGGAUUUUAAUUUUGGAAUUUGGAAAUUUUUGUGGUUAGGGAAUUGGAUGGAUGGUGAGGAUUGUGUUGGACCACACAAUCACACACACACGCACUCCCUGUCUUCUCUCCCUCCCGUAGCUCUCUCUGUCCCUCUCCCUCACGAUCUCUCUCUUUCCCCUCACCCUAUACGUACGGCCUUCACCCAAAACCCUUCAAAACUCGACGGAUCGAGGCAAAUAAGGUAUGCAUCUUCAUCCUUUCGUCGUCCUGAGUUCAUUGGUGCUAGUUUUAGGAAGUGAAACCUUCGAUUUCACAUAGAUCCCGAACCUCCAUUUUUGAGGUACUGUUCAUGCGAACGUAAAAUGUUGUGUUUCAGGAGAUUUCAAGCUUGUGGUGAGCUUUAGGAGGUUCCUAAGGAAGCUCGGGGACGUUCGUUGGAGAGUUUUGGACGUCGGGAUCGUAGGUUUCAAGUUUGGCCGAAUCUUUGGUUUUUCCAAGGUGAGAUUUCGUAGUUUUUAGGCCCUAAAACAAGUCCAACGUGAUUGUACACUCUUAGGGCUUCAAUUUGGUAUAAAAUACGAAGAAAAUGGGUGAAAAACGAAGGAGAAUAGUGAGUUUGAAAAUCGGCCGGAGUUCGGCCGGAGUCCGGCCACCAGAGAACCAGUCCGGCGAGACCUGCGAAGAAGACGACACGUGCGCUGCACGUGCUGCGCGUGGCCAGCGCGUGGACCCGUGCCACGUGUGGCGCGUGGGGGCGCGUGGGGCUUCCAAAAAUUUUUCUAAAAAUUUCUCGACGCUCGUGACGUCGAGUAGGUCGAUGUGGUAUAUUAUUAUACCAAAAUUGAGCAUCGUAUGAGAAGUUAUUUCAAAUUAUUGGUGAUGUGCUUAAAAUUAAUGUUUUUAUAGUUGUUUCGCAUAUAGGUGAGACGUAUCCCGAGGACGACCGCAUCCAGGGACGCCACGGGGGUUACGACGACCCGUCGACUUAUCAGUGAGUGGGCAGUUUUGUUUUCGUAUUACCUAUAUACUACUGUUUUUCCCAGAAAAAUGUUUAUAUGAAAAUAUGUUUUGAAUAUGCCAUGCAUAGAAUUAUUUGAAAAUCAUGAAUUGGUUUAUGAACUAUAUGAUUGAAAUAUGAUGCAUACAUGUUGCAUGGUGCUGUGGAGGCACAGGUAAGUCAGGUGAGUUCAUUUAUUCAUUGAAUUGUUGUUGUUGAGAUGAGUUGAGCUCAUAAUCUGCACCCUAGGUGUUAGUGCUUAUAUUAUUCACCACACCGCACGCUCGUCUUGGAUCCAAGUAGGUGGAUGUCGUACAGACCAUGUGAGGGUUCCGACAUGCUAGUCGUACAGAUCACUAGGCGUGAUUCCGACUAGUGGGUGACCUUAGUUAUGCGCGCUGAUGAUAUGAUGAGAGAAGCACUAGAGCGUAUUUUUACACCUUUCAUCGUAUAGACUACCUUACGUAGUUCCGAGUGAUGUGCAGAGUAGGGCCGUAUAGGUCACUGUGGUGACUCCGGCUUAGUGGGAUUUUUGAGCUAUUGAAUUAAUCGUAUAGGACCAACUGCAGGGUCUCCGAUUGAUUCCUUAUUUCACCUGAUUUAUAUUUUUUAUUUAUGUCAUGGCAUGUUUUCUUGAAAAUGUUAAAGAUUUGAGAUUUAAAUGUUGAGAUUUUAUAUGGUUAUAUAUAUUUCUGGGAAAGUAUACAGGUUUUUACGGCGAGGGGAUAUAACUGUUUUAAUGAAAUGUUUUGGAAAACUAAUUUGUUUUACUGACCCACUCAUUUUGUUUUGCGCCCCUCCAGGUUCUAGUUUAGCGGUGGUUGGCUCACGAGGUCCUUUCCGGCUUUCUGACAGAUUUGGGACAUGUAGGACUCACCUGAGGGUGAUGUAUUCUUAUUUUAGUCCUACUUGACUGCAGUUAACCUAUGCUCUGAACUUAUGUGUUUACUUGUAAACUCGUCCGGUUAUGUCCGUAUGUGGUUAUGUUGAGUUUGGGUUGAAUUUCUGUUGUUAUUACGCUUCCGUGUCGUGCUUAUGGUUACGUCACGCCCACGUGACGGCCAGCACACCUGGAUCCUCCGGAUCAGGGUGUGUCAGUUUGGUAUCAGAGCUUAGGUUGCAGUCCUGUAAAAUUGUUAAUGUCUUAACGAUCUUUUUGAUGUUUUCUGUCAGAAUCAUGCCGCCUCGUAGAGAGCGUAGGGAGUCCCGCCGUACUCCUGAACCUAAUUUCCCAGAUAUUACUCAGUUAGGGGAAGCGAUGGCCCAGGCUUUACAGAAUGUGAUUCGUCCUCCCCCUCCUCCGAGGACACCUCUGGAGACCAUGUACAACUUGAAGUUAGAUCGGUUUAUGGGUAAUGAAAGUCAUGAGGGGGCAGAGAAAUGGCUUGAUCAUAUUGAGAAAACCUUUCAGGUGAUGCAGAGUCAGGGGAAUCUCCCUGCUAAUAGGUGGGUGGAGACCACCACUUGGUUUCUGGGUUGUGAACCAGCAGCAUGGUGGAUAAAUCAGGCUAGGUACAUGUCACCUGAGACGGCAGCCGACUGGAAAGUAUUCAAGGAGCAUUUUAUGAAGAGAUUUCGUUCCUCCUGAGUAUAUUGACCGUAAGAAGCAGGAAUUCACCAGGUUGAAACAGAGAAAUAUGUCGGCACAUGAAUAUUAUAGAAAGUUUACUGAUUUGUCUCGUUAUGACACUGAUAUAGCUGGUAAUCAGGGAGAGAUGCUUCGACGUUUCAAGUUGGGAUCUAAGAAGAAGUGGCGUACCUUUGCCAAUGCACUUCCCUGCGCUGAUUAUCAUGAGUAUUUCGAGAUUUUGGUUAGGAUGGAGGACUCUGAUAAUCUUCCUGACAGUGAGGAUGACGAGGACAAGAAUGAGGGUCAGAAGAAGAAUGAUAAGGGUAAGGGUAUUUCUAUUCCUGGACCUCGACAGACACAGAGUUUUUAAGAAGAGUGGAGCGAGUUCGAGUUCUUCUAGUGGGGGAUAUAGUUUUACUGGCCCGAGGAGAGGUGGUGGAAGAUUUUCUGGUGGACCCAGAUUUCAGGGUCAGAGGGAUGCUGGUGGAUCUGGCGCUCCAUGGUGCCGCCGUUGUAACUCCCGUCACCAUGGUGAGUGUAGGAGAGGUUCUGGUGCCUUGUUUUUACGUGUGGGACAGAUGGGACAUCGGGCUUCUCAGUGCCCCCAGGGUCAGCAGAGACCGCAGCAGACUAAUAUGCCACCUCCAGCACCAGUUCAGCAGAGUUUUGGGACCGGGUGGUUAUGGCCAGCCGAGUCGUGGUGGUGCCUACCACUAUCAGGGGGAUGCUGCUCCGUAUGCUUCCGGACCUUAUCAGUAUUCUCAGGAGCCUUAUCCUCAGGCAGGGUAUUCUCAGGAUUUUGGAGGUUAUUCUUCUUAUUCCUCUAUGCCAGCUGGUGGAUCGCAGUGGCAUCAGGGAGGCCAGCCCCGUCAGGGGGAAGUUGCUACUGGUGGUGCAGGAUCAUCCAGGCAGCCUAGUCAGCCAGGCCAGGGACGAGGUAAUCAGGGCAAUAGAGGCCGAGGUGGACGUCAGCAAGCUCAGGGGCGAGUUAAUCAUAUUGUCCCUGCAGGAGGCUCAGAACCAUCCAGACUUGAUAAUGGGUACGUUAAAUGUUCUUGGUCAUUUUGCUAAGGUUUUGAUUGAUUGUGGCGCUACGCACUCUGUGAUUUCUCAUACGUUUGCUCAAAUAACCCAACCUCACCCUUCACCUCUAGGAUUUGAUUUAGAGUUUGCCAUGCCUAGAGGAGAUAAAUGUAUUGUGGAUAGUGUGUAUCUGGGGUGUCCAGUGAUGGUUGAGGGCGUGAUUAUGUCCGCUGAUCUUAUUCCGUUAGAUAUUGUGGAUUUUGAUGUGAUUUUAGGGGCCGAUUGGUUACACCAUAAUCGUGCCCAUAUUGAUUGUUAUGGUAAAUCAGUUACUUUUUAUCGUCCUGGAUUACCCGAGGUUAUUUUUGUGGGCGAGAGAAGUGGGGUGAGACAUGGAGUUAUUUCUGCCAUAAGGGCGAGGAAAUUAUUAUCGAAGGGUUGUCAGGGAUAUUUGGCACAUGUGGUAUUAAAUGAUGUUGCUCCUACUAGUAUAGAAGAAGUUGGUGUGGUCAGACAUUAUCCGGAUGUUUUCCCUGAUGAUUUGCCGGGAUUGCCGCCAGACAGAGAGGUGGAAUUCUCUAUUGAUUUGCUUCCAGGUACGGACCCUAUAUCUCUGACUCCUUAUAGAAUGGCUCCUGCUGAGUUAAGGGAAUUAAAAAUCCAGUUGCAAGAAUUACUUGAUAAAGGUUUUAUUCAACCUAGUUCUUCACCUUGGGGUGCCCCAGUAUUAUUUGUGAAGAAGAAGGAUGGAACUCUUUCGAUUGUGUAUUGAUUAUAGACAAUUGAACCGGGUAACGAUUAAAAACCGUUAUCCAUUGCCCCGCAUUGAUGAUUUGUUUGAUCAGCUGAAAGGUGCGUGUGUAUUUUCUAAGAUUGAUUUGAGAUCCGGGUAUUAUCAAUUGAAGAUUAAAGAAGACGAUGUACCUAAGACGGCUUUCCGAACUCGGUACGGACAUUAUGAAUUUUCGGUUAUGCCGUUUGGGUUGACUAAUGCACCUGCAGCUUUUAUGAGAUUAAUGAAUGAGGUAUUCCAGAAAUAUCUUGAUAAAUUUGUUAUUGUUUUUAUUGAUGAUAUUCUGGUAUACUCUAAGUCCCAAGCAGAUCAUAUCCGACACCUUAAUUUGGUGUUAAGGAAAUUAAGGGAGCAUCAGUUGUAUGCCAAGUUCAGUAAAUGUCAGUUUUGGUUGACUGAAGUGGCAUUUUUGGGGCAUGUUGUAUCAGCUCAAGGUAUUCAAGUUGAUCCUCAAAAGAUUGCAGCAGUGGAGAAUUGGGAGCAACCUCGAACCGUCACGGAGGUACGAAGUUUUCUUGGCUUAGCAGGUUAUUAUCGACGGUUCGUUCAGGAUUUCUCUAUGAUUGCUUUACCGUUGACAAAGUUGACCAGGAAGGAUGUUAAAUUUGAGUGGGAUGAGAAUUGUGAGCGGAGUUUUCAACAAUUGAAGUAUUGCCUCACUCAUGCACCGGUGUUGGUACUUCCCGACGAUAGCGGUAAUUUUGAGAUAUAUAGUGAUGCUUCAUUAAAUGGUUUGGGAUGUGUUUUGAUGCAGCAUAAUAAGGUGAUUGCCUAUGCUUCUAGGCAGUUGAAAAAAUCAUGAAAGGAACUAUCCUACUCACGAUCUUGAAUUGGCAGCAAUUGUUUUUGCUUUGAAAAUUUGGAGGACAUUACUUUGUAUGGUGAGAAGUGUAAGAUCUUCACUGAUCACAAGAGUCUUCAGUAUUUGUUUACUCAGCAUGAUCUUAAUCUUCGUCAGCGAAGGUGGAUGGAAUUGUUAAGUGAUUAUGAUUGUUCUAUUGAAUACCAUCCAGGUCGUGCUAAUGUAGUAGCGGAUGCACUGAGUAGGAAACCUCAAGGUAGACUUAAUGCCCUUAUAUGCUAGUCGUGUUCCUCUUCUUGCUGAAUCUGAGGACAACUGGGGUAAGGUUGGAAAUUGAAAGACCGAGGAUGGAGCUUUUCUUGCUAGUUUUCAAGUCAGGCCAGUUUUGGUGGAGCGUAUACUUGCAGCUCAGAUGGUGAAUGAGGAAAGUUCAAGGAGUUGGUUCAGUUAAGAAGUGAAGGGAAAAAGAAAGACCUCAGAAUUCGGGAAUCAGACGGUAUGCUCAUGCAAGAAGACAGAAUGUAUGUUCCGAAUAAUGAGGAAUUGAAGAAGGAAAUUCUGGACGAAGCACAUUGUUCAGCUUAUGCGAUGCAUCCGGGAGGAACAAAAAUGUAUAUCAUACCAUUCGACCAUUUUAUUAUUGGCCGGGUAUGAAAAGAGAAAUUGCAGAAUAUGUGAGCAGGUGUAUUAUUUGCCAGCAAGUGAAAGCAGAAAGAAAGAAGCCAUUUGGGCGAAUGCAACCCCUUCCUGUUCCCCAGUGGAAAUGGGAAAAUAUAACCAAUGGAUUUCGUGUAUAAACUUCCUCGUACGCGAAAUGGAUUUGAUGGUAUUUGGGUGAUUGUGGAUCGACUCACCAAGUCGGCGCAUUUCAUUCCUGUGAGGGAGAAAUACCCUCUGAAUAAAUUGGCUAAGUUGUUUAUUUCGAAGAUUGUCAAGUAUCAUGGAGUCCCAGUAAAUAUUAUCUCCGAUCGAGACCCGAGGUUUACUUCUAAAUUUUGGGUGGCUUUUCAGGAAGCUCUGGGUACUCAAUUACUGUAUAGCACAGCUUAUCAUCCUCAAACUGAUGGGCAAUCAGAGAGGACCAUUCAGACGUUGGAAGGAUAUGUUGAGAUCUUCAGUACUGCAAUUUGGUGAUUCUUGGCAUGAUCGUCUGGACUUAAUGGAGUUUGCUUAUAAUAACAGUUUUUCACUCGAGCAUUGGUAUGUCCCCAUUCGAGGCACUUUAUGGUAGGGCGUGUCGAACGCCAUUAUGUUGGUCUGAGGUUGGUGAACGGGUAUUAGAAGGCCCUGAGAUCGUGGAUGAGACGACUCAAAAUGUUCAGAUAAUUAAGUCAAACCUGAAAGCAGCCCAGGAUCGACAGAAGAGUUUAGCGGAUCGGCAUACUACUGAUCGAGUGUAUGAUGUGGGUGAUUGGGUAUUUUUGAAAUUGUCGCCUUGGAGAGGUGUAGUACGAUUUGGGAAAAGAGGAAAGUUAAGCCCGAGAUAUAUUGGACCUUAUGUGAUCACUGAAAGAGUUGGUGAAGUUGCCUAUCGGUUGGAACUGCCUCCGGAGUUAUCUAAGGUCCAUAAUGUGUUCCACGUCUCUAUGCUUCGGCAUUAUAUUUCUGAUCCUUCUCAUGUGAUCCCUCCUCAACCGUUAGAGAUUAAUCCGGAAUUUGACGUAUGAUGAGGAACCGGUCACUAUCUUGGAUUGGAAAGAUAAGGUUCUAAGGAACAAGACGGUGAGUUUGGUAAAGGUGUUGUGGAUGAACCAUUCUGCAGAGGAAGCCACCUGGGAGACGGAAGAUCGGAUGAGAGAGAUGUACCCAAGGUUAUUUUAUGGGUACUAAGUGGUUAAUUUGGAUUGUGGGAAUUUCGGGGACGAAAUUCUAUAAGGAGGGGAGAUUGUCACAGCCCGUCCCCGGGAUUUCUAUAUCGGGAAUGUGAAUUGACAGUAACUACCCUUGAUUGGACAUUCGGGUACGUGUGUGUGCGACAUUAAAUUGAAAUUUUGUAAGUUUUGGGAUUUUAAUUUUGGAAUUUGGAAAUUUUUUGUGGUUAGGGAAUUGGAUGGAUGGUGAGGAUUGUGUUGGACCACACAAUCACACACACACGCACUCCCUGUCUUCUCUCCCUCCCGUAGCUCUCUCUGUCCCUCUCCCUCACGAUCUCUCUCUUUCACCCUCACCCUAUACGUACGGCCUUCACCCAAAACCCUUCAAAACUCGACGGAUCGAGGGGCAAAUAAGGUAUGCAUCUUCAUCCUUUCGUCGUCCUGAGUUCAUUGGUGCUAGUUUUAGGAAGUGAAACCUUCGAUUUCACAUAGAUCCCGAACCUCCAUUUUUGAGGUACUGUUCAUGCGAACGUAAAAUGUUGUGUUUCAGGAGAUUUCAAGCUUGUGGUGAGCUUUAGGAGGUUCUAAGGAAGCUCGGGGACGUUCGUUGGAGAGUUUUGGACGUCGGGAUCGUAGGUUUCAAGUUUGGCCGAAUCUUUGGUUUUUCCAAGGUGAGAUUUCGUAGUUUUUAGGCCCUAAAACAAGUCCAACGUGAUUGUACACUCUUAGGGCUUCAAUUUGGUAUAAAAUACGAAGAAAAUGGGUGAAAAAACGAAGGAGAAUAGUGAGUUUGAAAAUCGGCCGGAGUUCGGCCGGAGUCCGGCCACCGGAGAACCAGUCCGGCGAGGACCUGCGAAGAAGACGACACGUGCGCUGCACGUGCUGCGCGUGGCCAGCGCGUGGACCCGUGCCACGUGUGGCGCGUGGGGGCGCGUGGGGCUUCCAAAAAAUUUUUCUAAAAAUUUCUCGACGCUCGUGACGUCGAGUAGGUCGAUGUGGUAUAUUAUUAUACCAAAAAUUGAGCAUCGUAUGAGAAGUUAUUUCAAAUUAUUGGUGAUGUGCUUUAAAAUUAAUGUUUUUAUAGUUGUUUCGCAUAUAGGUGAGACGUAUCCCGAGGACGACCGCAUCCAGGGACGCCACGGGGGUUACGACCCGUCGACUUAUCAGUGAAUGGGCAGUUUUGUUUUCGUAUUACCUAUAUACUACUGUUUUUCCCAGAAAAAUGCAUUUAUAUGAAAAUAUGUUUUUGAAUAUGCCAUGCAUAGAAUUAUUUGAAAAUCAUGAAUUGGUUUCACAUGAACUAUAUGAUUGAAAUAUGAUGCAUACAUGUUGCAUGGUGCUGUGGAGGCACAGGUAAGUCAGGUGAGUUCAUUUAUUCAUUGAAUUGUUGUUGUUGAGAUGAGUUGAGCUCAUAAUCUGCACCCUAGGUGUUAGUGCUUAUAUUAUUCACCACACCGCACGCUCGUCUUGGAUCCAAGUAGGUGGAUGUCGUACAGACCAUGUGAGGGUUCCGACAUGCUAGUCGUACAGAUCACUAGGCGUGAUUCCGACUAGUGGGUGACCUUAGUUAUGCGCGCUGAUGAUAUGAUGAGAGAAGCACUAGAGCGUAUUUUUACACCUUUCAUCGUAUAGACUACCUUACGUAGUUCCGAGUGAUGUGCAGAGUAGGGCCGUAUAGGUCACUGUGGUGACUCCGGCUUAGUGGGAUUUGAGCUAUUGAAUUAAUCGUAUAGGACCAACUGCAGGGUCUCCGAUUGAUUCCUUAUUCACCUGAUUUAUAUUUUUUAUUUAUGUCAUGGCAUGUUUUCUUGAAAAUGUUAAAGAUUUGAGAUUUAAAUGUUGAGAUUUUAUAUGGUUAUAUAUAUUUCUGGGAAAGUAUACAGGUUUUUACGGCGAGGGGAUAUAACUGUUUUAAUGAAAUGUUUUGGAAAACUAAUUUGUUUUACUGACCCACUCAUUUUGUUUUGCGCCCCUCCAGGUUCUAGUUUAGCGGUGGUUGGCUCACGAGGUCCUUUCCGGCUUUCUGACAGAUUUGGGACAUGUAGGACUCACCUGAGGGUGAUGUAUUCUUAUUUUAGUCCUACUUGACUGCAGUUAACCUAUGCUCUGAACUUAUGUGUUUACUUGUAACUCGUCCGGUUAUGUCCGUAUGUGGUUAUGUUGAGUUUGGGUUGAAUUUCUGUUGUUAUUACGCUUCCGUGUCGUGCUUAUGGUUACGUCACGCCCACGUGACGGCCAGCACACCUGGAUCCUCCGGAUCAGGGUGUGUCAUAGAACACCUCUUUAUAGUAUAGAUGAUGGAUGACUUUAUACUAUGAAGUUGUUUUUCAAUAUAUAUGUUCAAUGGUUUUGUACUUACCUAGUGGUCCUUUCCGCUACGGGACGUAGGGAUAGAUUCCGGUCAUUCCCGGGCGACGGUUUGGUGUUGGCAUAGGGCCUGGAGUGUGUUUCCUCUGGCUAUUUAGCACAGGGACGGGGAGCCGGCAUGGGGCCUGAAGUGUAUUUUCCUCUGACUGUCUGCUCAGAGACGGGGAGCCGGCAUGGGGCCUGGGGGUUAUCGGACAAUUCACUAGUGAUUAUUAUAUAUAUAAAAGUUAUGAUUUGAGACACUGCACAUCAUGCUAGGUUUCGGAAAACCUAUGUUUAUCAUUAUAUAUGUGUUUUCAUAAAACUUGGGGGUUAGUACGUUGAUAACUGUUUUGUUAUAUUUAUAUCAAAUUGGUCCACUCAUGUUUGUUUUGCGCCCCCUUCAGGAUUUAGGAUCGAGGCGUACAAUCCCGGCAAUCCAGGCACUUCCGCAUCGGUAUCUUCAAGUCCUCUCGGUGUAGAACCCACUUCUGUGUUCAUUCAAUUUUUAUAUUAAUCCUUUUAAUGUUCUAGAUUAGAUGUGUGCUCUGAACACGUUCCUUAAAUGCAUAUUCUUUAUUCUCUUAUAUUUAUAAGUUUUAUCUAUCCUUUAUUUUCAGCAAUUGCACUCAAUAAAUGGCUUUCGUCGCCCUCGGGUGUCGGCCAGCACGUGACCAUCCUGAUAUCCUGAGGAUAUCGGGAUCGGGGCGUGUCAAUUUGUGAAGAAGAAUUUUUAUGCACUGCAACUGUUUGAUCGUCUGUCUAAGAGAGGGAGUGCAAAUGUACAUGUGCUUUAUGUGGCCUCUUUAGAUAUGCAUGAUUUAGAAGCUAGCCCUAAACUGGAUGGUAGUAGCAGCAAGCCAAGGGUUAAAGAAGUGUCUUCUGAAGAAAAAGAUAAUGUGUCUCACAUUGAGAUUAAGAUUACUGAAUACCAUAGCUCCGAUGAAAAGUGUGUUCUGAGGUAUCUUAAUCUUUCAGACAACGCCAUGGGCAACUAUGGUGUCAAUGCAUUUGAGUCACUUCUUAGUUCACAAAACAAUUUGAGAGAACUUUAUUUGAUGAAUAUGGCAAGGCUCAAUAUGUGUCAUAACAUGAGGGAGUGGCACUGCGAUGCUAUUAGGAAGAUCAAAUGGCUGAAUGAGAAUGAGAUUUCUGUUAUGAUCAAUACCGAAGGACAAGCAAACUAUGAAGGUUUUUUUUAUUGUAUCAAAUAUGGUGAGGAGCUCACUUUUAAGCUGUUGCUCUAUUUCCAAGCUGUCAAGGCAAAAAGUCUUGGGUUUACUAAACUUGGGUCACCAAAAGAGGCUAAGAAGGUUGUUGGGAACAUGAAUGAUGUUACUGCUAGUGCCAAACAGCUAAAGGAGAUGGAACAAGGCUUGACCAGUUUGAUAGUUUUGGGGAAUGGGCGAUUGUCUGAUCUUAUUGCACAGCUGCAGGAUAUAUUAGAGGGUGUAAAUGAAGCUGAUAUCUUGCCGGAGAAGUUUGAUAAUGCAGUUAUUAAAGCUCAGAUUCCACAAUUGGCUCGAGAAAUCAGGGAGUUAACCUCAUCUCGACCUGUAACCAUCUACAAUGAGAAUUCUUCCUCUAGUGGGAAUUAUGCUUCAUAUUUAGUUCCACUUGCUGCACUUGCUGCAAUGGGCUAUUGUUACAUGUGGUGGAGAGAUUGGUCAUUUUCAGAUGUGAUGUAUGUGACAAGGCAUAAUAUGGCAAAUGUUGUUGAAGCUCUAAUUAGAGAGGUAGCUAGCAAGAGCAAUGACUUUGCUGGGAACGGAACAACAAAUACAUUGAAGAUGAGUGAAUGCGCUAUGGGCACCUAUUUAGAUUUAGUAUGCUCUCUUAGUCACCUGGAAAGCAAUUUUGGUGGUGCCUUAGUUAUUGAUUUACAUGUUGAGUUCUCUUUGUUUUUCACUUGUAACCCUGACUGUCGGCUUUUAUGGGAUCCAGGAGAUGCAAUGGCUAAAACUGUUAAGAUGAUACUCUAUUUUAAAAAUGUCAAGGCAGAGUGGCUUAACAGGGUUACAAAAAUAACCAAGUUUGGUAGUUUUAUGGUACAAUUGGAUAGAAGUGUUGAAGCUUUGAAUAAGGGCAAAAAGCAAAAAACUAGAGAUGGUGGAUAUGGUGAUGAGAUAAAGAGAUUGCAUGAUUUAAGCGUGAACAAGGUUGUGGAUAUGGCGACUAGGUUCGAAAGUGCAUUGGUAGGACAUGUUAACAAUAUAAUUUGUAGUACUACUGUAAGAUUGGAGAGACUUCACUCCGAUGAUUGGUGGUGUUCUGCUAUAUCUCAACUGCUGAUGAUUGGUAAAUCCAUCGUAUCUAGUUCAAACAAAACUCAGGAAGCAAAUGUGGAUGCUGUUUUGGGAACCGGUGAUCCGAGUCUACUAGUUGAGAACACUUCAGUUGAGCAGCUUGGUUUCGUCAGAAAGGUGACAAUCUUUAAGGACUCCACUUCCAUUAUUGGUGAUGCAGCAUCAAAAGAUGGGUUGCAAGUCCAUGGUGUGUCUCCAUUUGACAUUAUGGGCAGAAAUCUUUUCUGGGAAAAGCAACUGCAAAGGCUGCAAAUGGGAGCUGUCACAAGAAAGUUCUUGGUGGUUAAUUUCAGUUCUGGUUUUGAUGAAUCUUCAUAUCUCUCUCGGGUUGAAAAUUUUGAGGAGAUGUCACAAGAAAAUUAUGGAGAGGCUACAGGAAACAAGAACUCACUCACUCAGUUCAAGCGAGCUGCCAUACCUGGAAGGAUUAUAAUGAUUUCAAAGUCAAGUUCUACAAUUCCAUUUUUAAGCCUUGAGGACAAGGCUAAUUUUCAAGGGGGAAGUAUUGUUAUGACCCAAAUUAUUACUGAGGUUUUAUGCUUUAUUACUGUGAGGAAUUGUUAAUAUGCCAGCUGGCAUUUAAAAGUGUAGAGGUUUUAUAAAAGGAGCCCCAGCUCCCCCAAAUGUAUCAGAUCAGAAUUUUACAAAAGAAAUCAAUAUUGGAGCUCUGCUCCUUCUUCUCUCAUUCCCUCUUCUUCCAUAGCUUUCUUGUGCCACUUGCAGGUUGAUUAAGGGAAUUGAGAAUUAGAUCUUAUCAUAACGUCACUACCACAACUCCCAAUAUCAUCACGCUGAAUGUCCACACUCGGUUUCUGCUCAAUUAAAGCGUCAAUUUCCUGCAAAAUACUCUCAUCGAAAUCAUCAUCGUUAAGAAUUCCAGAUGCAGAGAAAGAAUCAAAUGAAGUCAGAAACUGCGGUUGUCUGAUUGGAGUUGUGAAAGAAUCCGAUUUUGACACGCUUGAUUCGGUCCGGCUAACGCUUAAGCUCCCGGAACACGAAGCACUGCCAUAUUCACCACGCGCUGAAUUGUACCGGCUUGCGGAAAUCGGAAGCGGUGUUCUUUGAACUCUAUUGAGCUGAGUUGGCGUUUGGAUUCCAUUUCCGCCAAAAAACACAAUUGAAUUGAUUUAAAUUGAAGCAAGAAAACAGCCAAGUAGCCAAAAAAUAGUAAGAAGAUGAAACCUUUGAUUCCUGAACGACUUACUUGGUAUGAGGGAGGUGAUGAUCAGGUGAAACGGCGUCGUUGCAGGGGCGUUUGCGAUCAAUGAGGGCCUUGGCGGCUCUGAAAUUCCGAGAGAUGCGGUUUCUUUGUUCCGCCGUGAGCCCUCCGCCGUACGCCUGAACGUUUUCCUUGGACAUUGCUUCCAAGAUUCCAACGGAGGAUUUGGCCUGACGGCCUGACCAGGCUGAUAACAGUGUAAAACCUUAGGAGCUAAGGAAAAACUAAGAGAGAGAUUGUAGAGAGGGAAAGUUUUUUCUUUUUGGAAACCAGUAGAGAGGGAAAGUUUGUUAAACCUGAAUAAUAUUCUUUUCAUUCAACUUGUCUACAAUAAUUACCACUCGUGGUAUUUAUACAUUUGUAACACACCUCACUAACUAACUAAGACCACCACCAAUCAUACAUAAACACUUGUCAUAAUCCUAUGCACUCAUAGUAUCAUCACUUUAACAUUCCCCUCAAGCUCAUGUGGCAGAUUGCCAAGCAUGAGAUUGGAACAAUUACGAGCGAACUGGGGUGAACACAAGCCUUUGGUGAACAUGUCGGCAUAUUGAUCUGCAGAGGUAACAAACUACAAAAUAAUUGUCCUUUGAUGAACUCUUUCACGAACAAAGUGGCAAUCAAUCUCUAUAUGUUUGGCUUUAUAGUGCAAUACAGGAUUAGUGGCAAGAGCCAUUGUUGAAAUGUUAUCACAAUGCAAAACUAGAACAGAAGGAGAACCAACAUGCAAAUCUCGAAGAAGCUGUUGUAUCCAGAUAACCUUAGCAGUGGUUGUAGCCAUUGCUCUAUAUUUAGCUUCAGUGGAAGACCUACUCACUGUAUGCUGCUUUUUAGAACUCCAAGAGAUAGGAGUAUCUCCCAAAAAAAUGACAAAACCCGUGGUUGAACGACAAUCAUUGGGAUCCCCUACCCAAUCAGCAUCUGUAUAAGCUUUCAACUGAGAUGAACCUGAUUUAAAACAUAAUCCCAAAGAUAUAGUGCCUCUGCGAUAUCGUAGAAUACGUUUCACAGCAGCAAAUGAGUGGCUAAGGGUGAAUGCAUAAACUGACGUACUUGAUUGACAGAAAAAUAAAUAUAUGGUCUUGUAAAUGUUACGUAUUGCAGUGCCCCAACAAUACUUUUGUAAGUGGUAGGAUCAAAAACAGGUUCACUACCAUGAUUCAGAAGCUUCUGAUUAGGAUGACAAGGUGUGGAAAAAAGGUUUACAGUCUAGCAUAUGCAUCUUUUAAAGGAGUUCUUUGACAUACUUGGUCUGAUGAACAAAGAGUCCCUGACCCUGAUACUCAAUCUGUAAACCAAGAAAAUAAUGCAACACACCUAGAUCUUUCAUGCCAAACUCACUAGUUAACUAACUAAUAACCUUCUGAACCUUCACAGCAUCAUUACCAGUGAGAAUGAUAUCAUCAACAUAUAAUAAGAGAACAAUAAUUGAUGAACCAUCACACUUGACAAAUAAAGAAGGAUCUGCAUAUGAUGACUUGAACCCAAGCUUAGGCAAAUAACCUGAAAACCUGUCAUGCUAGGCUCUGGGAGCUUGCUUGAGACCAUAUAAAAACCUCUCUAGUUUGCACACAUAAUCUGGAUAGGUAGAAUCCACAAACCUUUGGGACUGAGACAUAUAAACUUCUUCAUCAAGAAAGCCAUGCAAAAAAGCAUUAUUGACAUCUAACUGUUUGAGUUUCCAAUUAUGAGAUGCAGCCAAGGAUAAAACCAAUCGAACUAUGGUUGGUUUGACCACAGGGCUAAAGGUUUCAUAAUAGCUAAUACCAACUUCUUGAGAAUACCCAUUAGCUACAAUUCUAGCCUUGUACCUAGCCACUGAACCAUCUGGAUUUCUCUUAAUCUUGUAAAUCCAUUUACAACCAACAAGAUUUUUGUCAGGUGCUAAGGGCACAAGCUUCCAAGUAUGAAGCAUCCAUCUCUUCUUUCAUGGCAUUUUGCCAUUGAACACACUUGACUGCACUAGAAAAAGACCGAGGUCCAAUAAAUGGAAAUGUGGAAGAAACACUAGGUGGAUGAAUGAAUGUGUUUGAAUGCACAACAGACACUGGUGAGGAAGAAUGACCAGAAGUAACUUGAGGAUUGAAACCCAAAGCAUUAGAGUCUAUAGGAAACUUGGAUUCAUAAAAAAUAACAUGUCUAGAUACUAAUAGUUUAUGAUCUUUGAGAGAGAAGCAAAUAUACCCUUUGUAUUGUGUAGCAUACCCCAGAAAAAUACACUUAGUAGUUUUAGGUUCAAGUUUAUUGCUUCUAUAGGGUUUCAAUGAAGGAUAGCAUAAACACCCAAAAAAUCUCAAAUGAUCAAGCUUAGGUGGAGAUUUAUAUAGCAUUUCAAAAGGAGACUGCAUAUGUAGGGUAGGUGUGGGCAUUUUGUUUAUAAGAAAAGUAGCAGUGGCACAGGCAUGGAACUAGAAUUUUGAAGGUAAUGAAACUUGUUGUAAAAAGGUAAUAGUUGUUUCGACAAUAUGUUGAUUUUUUCUCUCAGCCAACCCAUUAUGUUAUGGGGUAUAAGGACAAGAUUUUUUAUGAACAAUGCCUUUGGUAAGAAGAAAUUGCUUAAACUGAGUACUAACAUAUUCCCUACCCCCAUCACUCUGCAAAAUUUUUACAUGAGCAUCAAAAUAAUUCGAGACAGAAGCAAGAAAGUUGACAAAAACAGUGAACACUGCAACUUUAUUAUUUAAUGGAAAAAUCUAGGUAUAUCUUGUACAUUCAUCAAUAAAGGAAACAUAAUACUUGUAACCUUCUAUAGACAAACUAGGUGAGGGACCCCAAACAUCUAUGUGAAUUACUUCAAAUGGAGUAAGUGACUUCGAAGCAAUUACAGGAAAAAGGAGCUUGGUAAACUUGCCUUGCAAACAAGCAUUACAAGUAUGAGAUUGAGAGUUACAAGGAAAAGAUAUACAAGACUUAUUAAGUGCUGCAGUGACAGUGGAAUGUGUAGGAUGGCCUAAUUGACAAUGCCACAAUGUAGAAGAAAUCUUUUGACCCACAAAUGCAACUGGAUUAAAAACAGGAGAAAUAGACCUCUGUGGUUUGAUUAUGGGAAGUGGAUAGACAACAUUAUUACUCAGCCCUUGGAAUAGCACUCUCCCGGUGACCUUGUCCUGUAGACAGAGAGAAACAUCAUCCAUGAUACAACGACACUGAUUAUCUUUGCACAACUGAUUCAUAGAUAAUAAGUGUUGUGACAGUUUUGGAACAUGUAACACAGAGUUUAACUUGAAAUUAUGUGACUAAGUGAGAAGAGAAGAGGAACCAAUAUGUUUGACAGCUAAACCUUCACCACUAGCACUGGUCACAAUAUCAUUUGAUGGAUAAAUUUAUUGUCAUGUGCAAGUUUGACAAAUCUGAGGUCAUAUGGUUAGUUGCUCCCAAGUCAAGAAACCAGAAAUCUUGUUGAAGAGUUGAGGAUGAUGCACCAGCUCGUGCUUGCAUAGCAAGAGGAGGAUUUUGUGAGGAUAUAGUUAAUAGAUACAUAUGUGGUAUGACAAGAUACUGAAACUGUGAGCUAUUAGACUGUGGAAUCAUGCCUUGUGAAGGACCACAUGGAUUCUAGCUAGGUGCUUCACCAUAUGACCCAGUAGGCAUUGGAGUUGGCAUAGAUGAGGAUAAACCCUAAGAGAAAUGCUCUGAUGUGCCUGUGAAAUUUUUAUUCUGAUCAAAGCAAGUAGCAGCAACAUGACAACCUCUGUGACAAAUUUGACAUCCAUGUUGAAAACAAUUCAAUGCAGAAUGACCUUUGCGAUCACAUAUUUGCAGAAUGGCCUUUGCAACCCUAGAAAGAAGGAGCGAAGAAGACCAAAUGUGUACGUUUCUCUUUGGUUUUUUUUCCCUCCUAAUCGCGCUGUUCGAAAUCACGGACCUCGGGCCUGGGCCUAGUGGGCCCAAUUAUGAGGCCCAUUAUCUCCGGUCUUCUCGUUCUACUUCUAGUUACCCAAAUUAAGAACGUACGCUUUUAGCGCGAGAGAGAAAUGGAGGCCCUGAUUGCCUCGUACGGAGACUCGUCGUCGGGCUCAGACUCCGAGUCGCCGGCUCCACCUCCACCACCACCUCCGGAGCUCAACAACCCUCAAGAACCGACCCCUGCGCUGCCUCCACCUCCUCUGUCACUUCUCGACAGCCCCAAUUCCUUCGGUAACCUCUGAUUCCCAUCAAUUUUCAUCUUUUAGCUUUCUGUUGUGAUGGCUUUUUCCGAGUUGCCCACCAAGUGUUUGAUGUUUUGCCUCCGAAGAAUUUCUGGACUUAUCGGCAAGCGCCCAGCCGAGCAGAGUUCGGAACUUUCCUCACGUCGAAGGGAACUACGCAGUACAUGUAUACAUCCCAGGUUAUCAAAAUUCUCGAAAUUUUCAGCUCCAUUAGCAAAUGCGAUCGCUUUGCACUUAGUUUUUGCUUGUUUAAUUGUGUGGUUCCAGUUUAUAUACCACCAGCACCAAGGAAAGAGAUGGCCUUGUUUUUGAACAAGCUAGCUUCUCUGCUGCCUGGUCUCCAUGCGGUUGACGUUGACUUCCCGCUUGACAUUCUGCGUAAGGACGAGCACAAGCUUGAACAAGUUGCUUUAGGCAGAGAGUUCCAUAUAAGUCUCGGAAGAACUGUUCCGAUGCGGGUGCACCAGAUUGAUUCCUUGGUGACAAUGCUGCGGCAGAAGCUUCAGAUUCAGAGGCGGUAUGGUUACAUUUACAUUCUCUUGUCUGCAUUGCGUGAAUUUAGUUCUGUUAUUUAACAUAAUUCUGUAAGCCUGUUUUCGUAUAAAUGCACGGUUGAAUCAGCUUUCAUUGUCUACAAGUCUGAAAUAUUUUAACUUCCAUUGAUUUCAGAUAACAAAGCAGAUUCAAGCUGUGAAUGAGGUGUAUAAGCUUCACAAUCUUCCUGAAUUUUACAAGGUUAGCUUUUUCGUGCUUUUCAAACUCGAAUCGGUUCCUGAAUGUAUGACAAUAUAUUGGAUCAAACGAUUUCUCAAAACACUAAUUCACUUGAUGGGGUCUUGGUGAUCACAGGAUCCACGCCCUCACAUCUCGGUAGCUUGAGCAUUGGGUGACAUCAGCAAUUCCCUGAACAAAGUGGUUGAAGAAGAAAGACGAAGAUCUACCAUCGGAGGAUCGUUACAGAAAUGUAUUUUUACCAGUAAAUUCAAUGGUAUCGAUAUCGAAUGUAGGAUUGGUAAUAAAACACACAAAAUAUGUAAAUUUUCUGAAGAAUAAUGUAGCCAUUUAACUGUAUUGUGAAAUUCCGAGAAUAUAUGGCUGAGCAUUGGAUGAGAAGACAUUUCUUCGUUGGUGUCGAACUUCUUGUCGAAGGUAUUGGCACCAGUGUAAACGUCAUCAUCCAUGUUGAUGGUAAUUACUUACCAGCUACUAAGGGUGUCGGAACAACCUUGCACGCACCCUCCUGUGCAUUACUUGGUAUUGUCUCGGAUUCUCCAAACUUGAAUGCUAAUGUAAACCCACUCUUGACCUUUCCGUCAUCUGCAAUUACCGGAAAGCCGGCUUGGAUGUUGCCGUUGACCUACCAAACUUAAAAUACCGACGAAAUGUUGGAGUACUUCAGUGUACUACUCGUUUUUGUAUGCGAGAGCUCCACCUCUAUCGUUGUAACAGCAUCUGAUGCGGACUAGUCCUUCAUUCCCGUUACUCUUUGCCAUCUCCACUUCAAACUUGGUGUGAUGGCUCCCGGCCUCCUCUCCGGUGAAAUUGAGUAACCCCGGAGCUGGCGUGCCAUCAAGAUUUCCGUUGUGUCUCUAUUUGCUGUUGUGGUUCGGUUCCACUAUAAACUUGGCAGAGUUAGCAUUUUCAUUCUGUUGUCUGUAUAUCUUGAUAUUACAAGUAUUUGUUGUGCAAAAUGCAUGCUAAGUUCAAGUUAUGUUUAUAUGUGUGUGUGUGUUGCCACUUUUCCAACGUUUUCUCCAAAAUUGUGACGAGCAACAAAGCAGUUUUGAUUCCGUGCACAACAACGAUACCUCGAAAGAAAUUGAUUCUUCCCCAGAAAGAUGUUUUAAAACAAAGUUGAACAAGGGAAGAAAACUUUUGAAUCGCAAUCAGAUGUCUGGUCAAAUUCUUUAACAGUUGAUGUAUACAGAAGUUCCUUGCUUAUGACACGACUUAUGAGAGGAUGUAUGUAUUGCAUUUGCAUCAAAAGAAAGAAAGAAGGUUGUAAGUGGUAAGGGAACGACUACCGAUGCCGCUCCACUUCUAAUCAAAGGGAUCGAUCCGAGGGUCGUGUUCACUUGCCAUCGCCAUUCCAGUGCAAAGGCAUGUCGGGCACAUUACCUGCCACAUUUACAGACGCAAUGUUAGAUAUAGCUGCCAUUUGGAAGUCAUCUCUCAAAAUUUUGCUACUAAAUUAAUCUUAAACUUCAUUUCCAGUGCAAUUUUUUUCUUCUGAAUUGUCUUUCACAUGCCCGACAAAUAGAAGUAUCACCAAACAUGUGAUAUAGAGCAUCUAAGCGGCAGGCACUAAAAGGAAUUUAGUAUGCAAUAAACAUUCAACGGACAUAAUUAUAUGUCUAACCUUUCCCGCUCCUGAGCAAUUUGAACAUCGUUCAGUUUUUGGCAGAGAUAGGGGUUGGUUUCCGCCAUCAGCUGUCGAUACUGGUUCAGUAAGAACAAGGGUUCCAGUGCUGGAGCAACGAGCACAAGCAAGAGAUCCUGCGUAAGUAUCAAAUACACAGGUAAGUUGACAUACGAAACCAAUCCGAACAUCUCCAUCGUAUAUAUUUAAAGCUACAGUACAUAAAACUAAAAGUCAGAAAUAUAGGACAUUAUCACACCAGUUCCAAGACAAUAUUUGCAUCGUUUAUGCUCCUGCUGUUUCACAUUGUUUAUUUCAACUACCAUCAAUGCUGAGAUCACUCCGACUGCUCCUCCAGAGAAUGACGCCACUAUGGGAUCAACUUGACUGCAGUUUGAAAGUAAAGGAGAUCAAUAAACGAAACUGGUAACAACAUAGUAUCAACAUUAUUUAGCUUCGUUUCAAGAAAGAUGACAUCCUAGGUUUUUCUAAUGUGUAAAAAUUGAGGAUCCUCGUAAAAUUUGACUAUAUCGGUUCCCAAAGCAUUUGAUUCCUACGUUACAGACGGAAAACAGCAACAAUCGAAUUUAAAGAUUCAUAACACGAUAGAUGGUACAAAAUUUCAAAACGAUAAUUACUAGAGAACAGGAGGGUUAAUAGCCUGAGAUAUGAGCAAUACCUCAACUGCAACGGCAGAUGCAUAUUUACUAUAAAGUCUUUAUAUGAUGUGCCUCCUAUUCCCAGCUUCAACUCCAACUGAAAGAUGUAAAGGUAAUUGUAGGCAAAGAGUUACAAACAUAACCGAAUCCAUGUUUUAUAAGCAACAACUACACUUAUUUUGAUAUGUUUCCUCAUUUUUUACUUGCAAAUUCCAAACCAUAUUGUCGGACCAGUAAAAGAAAAUAAUGUUUAUGAUAACUGUUAAAACUAAUUACAACAAGUUAAUGCAUAAAGAACUUACGGAGGGUGCUAUGAGGCCACCGAAAAGGAUAAACCCCGCAAUAAUUGAAUAACAAACAGCAUAAUACUGCUUAAGGUUGUCUGAACUCUGCAAGCAAUGAAUUCACCUUGUGAUUAAUACUUUGCACAAACACUAGUUUUCGCAAUUUUUUAUGAAUCGACAAAAGGCUACAACAAAAUAUGGCUAAAACAUGUCGGGGAUAUGAAAAUACAUGUCUUCACAGGGGCACCAGCUUACCAGGGGAGGCAAAAAUGGAAUGAACGAUGGAAAACUAGGAAGUUCGUUUUCUUGAUCUUCAUUUACCGCUCCAAGCUCUGCACGUUUAAUCCGCUGUUGUAUCCUCAGCCUGCGAACCUACGCAUAUCGAAGCUCAUUCUUAAAGAACACAUUUCUAAUGGCAAUUGGAGAGUAAUUUAAAACAUGCUACACUGAGAAAGUGGUAGCAACUAGCAAUUGCUCUCACCUCCUCCAUAUGCAAGAAAAUUUUGUUGCGACGACUCCGAAUAUUAUCUUGAAUUUCCUGCAGCUCCAUUGUGGCAAAAUCCUGCACUGUUUCAGGCCCCUCUAUGAUACAAAAUCUGCACCAUUAAGCAUGUAAAAAUUAAAAAUUACAAGCUACAAAGCAAUUUCCGUAUAGUUGUUGGGUUAAAUAACAUCAACAGCAAAUAAAUCACAUAGGUUUUUCACAUAAAGUUACAAACUUUCAAGGACUAAUAAGCUGUCUGCAAUCUCAUAAAUUUCACAGUGCAAAGUAACAAUCCAAAGCUUGGAACUUUAAAUUUCCACCUUCUGUUAAUUUUUUAGUGCACCUGGUGUCGUUAGAUUCGAGUAGUAUGUCACAUUAAAUUUUUUUUUUCUGUGCAUGCAUUUUUUUUUAAAAGAAAAUUUAUAUUGUUAAAGAGCGAGUUCGAAACUAUUACAUUAUGGAAGGACAUAGUACCGAAACUCCGACGAUCAAAAACAAAAUCAUGUACAACCACUCCAAGCAGUCAACAUGGCCAUCACAUAUUGAAUCCAAAAUGUUGACGCCCCAUUCGCUGCAUAUAAUGUACAGACGAGCGGCAGCUUCAACCAGUUCUGCCAUAUCCGGCUGGAUGAGAGCAGCUAAAGACAUGAUUGUUCCCUAAUAACAUGAAUAAAUUGAGUAAACACCAAAAGUAGCAGCAAGGGAAGGAGAUGUGAAGUAUAUGAAGAGGUGUAAGACCUGUGAAUGUCCAGCAACAAAGAUUUUGGAGCUUGUUGUCGAAUAAUGCAACGCGUCAUUUCUGGUAGAUCAAAUAGAGCCAAUUCCCGCCAACUCCAAUUCCAAAAUUUCUACAGUAAAGCAUAAAUCUUAUUCUCUCUUCUGAUAAAGAUGAGUGUCCCAGACUCCAACGUGUUCCACACACAUUCCCUACCCAUACAUCGAAACCUUCAUCUGCAAGGACGAAUCCCAGCGAUUCUUCUGGAGAAUUUAAGAAUCAUGCAUCACCUGGUUAAGAUCAAGAAAAGCCAGUAACCAAGUUCAAUUGAGUUAAAAUGUAUCCCAUGGAUGUUCAUCACUUUGCCCAAUUGUUCUUUUCAAGAAAGGAAAUUUCAACAGAACCUGAAAACUUCAGAUCAGGGGGCACCAAAUAGUGAGCUAUACAUUCAAAAUUUGAAAUAAUCAACUUAGUAGGACCAGUAUGUUGAAAAAAUAGGAAGGAGCUAUGAAAGUAAGACUUUUCACUAAUCAGGCGUCCAGAGAAUCCAUAUUUUACCCGCGUAUCAGUUACGGGGAACACUCCCCACCAGAGCAAUCUCAUUAGUCCUUCACAUCUCAACCGUACAGAAGUUGCACUAACAAACAUGACUCCUAUUAGUCCUUCACAUCUCAAAUCCAGGAAGUACCCAUCUUUCGUCUGAAUCUGGAAAAUAAGCAGCAGUCAAUUUAACAAUCUCGGUAUCUCAAAGUUACUCACUUUAAUCACAAAUUUAGCAAUUAAACAUAUAAAUGGGCAUUUUUUUAGGGAAAUAUUAGUAUAGUACUCACUGUGUGCUCGGAGCAAGAGUACCCAGAAAGCUCAAUGAGCUGCGCACAGAGGACUGCAGUGGUGAACGACAGCGACCGCACAGAGGACUGCAGUGGUGAACGACAGUGACCAAUUCUGUAAAAUUUAGUCGAGUUUUGGGAAAUUUCUGCAGCGAUUUCGGAGGUCAAGAGGCUGAUAAGGAAAGCCGCGACCAAAGGGCACUGGUCUGGAAGAAAGGCUUUGGUCGCCGCUAUCGCAAUUCACGAAGGAAGAAGUGCCCCAAAACAAUUUCGGCCCUGGACAGGUGCACUGUUUGCACUGAGCCAGGGCCGGCCCUGAAUCGCGAUAACGUCCUUCUCCAAACAGUAUAUAUACAGAUGCUAGAAAAAUCUACCGGAACUAUUCAAUUCUAGCGUCUACAGCUUUAGCAUUAGUUGGUACAAGGGGCAUUCUUCCAAAGAGGGAGAUGAAAUCGUUGAGGCACCAAAUAGUGAGCUAUACAUUCAAAAUUUGAAAUAACCUCUUGGUAGGACCAAUAUGUUGAAAAAAUUGGAAGGAGCUAUGAAAGUAUGGCUUUUCACUAAUCAGGCGUCCACAGAAUCAAUAUUUUACUCACAGAUCAUUUACGGGGAACACUCCCCACCAUAACAAUCUUUUUAGUCCUUCACAUCUCAAACCAAGUAGAAAUUGCAGUAACAAACACGACUUCUAUUAGUCCUUCACAUCUCAAACCCAGUAAGUACCCAUCUUUCGUCUGAAUCUGGAAAACAAGCAGCAGUGGAUUCAACAAUCUGGGUAUCUCAAAGUCACUCACUUUAAUCACAAAAUUAACAAUUAAACAUAUAAAUGGGCAUUUAUUUAGUGAAAUAUUAGUAUAGUACUCACUGUGUGCUCGGAGCAAGAGUACCCAGAAAGCUCAAUGAGCUGCGCACAGAGGGACUGCAGCGGUGACGACGGCAACCGAUUCUGUAAAAUUCAGUCGAGUUUUGGGCGAUUUCUGCAGCGAUUUCGGAGGUCAAGAGGCUGAUAAGGAAAGCUGGGACGGAAGGGCACUGGUCUGGAAGAAAGGCUCAGGACACCGCUGUCCCGAUUCGUGAAGGAAGAAGUGCCCCCAAAACAAUUUCGGCUCUGGACAGGUGUACUGUUUGCACUGGACCAGGGUCGGCCCUGGCGAUAACGUCCCCCAAACAGCACAUAUACAGAUGCUAGAAAUAUAUAAAUGUAACCUGAAACUACUAGAACCAUUCAAUUCUAGCGUCUACAGCUUUAGCAUUAGUUGGUACAAGGGACAUUCUUCCAAAGAGGGAGAUGAACUCAUUGAGGCUCUUAUUUAUUCCUCCUCUUGAUGUGCCCUUUUAGGCUGCUAAUUCCACACGAUCCAAUCUCAUACAUCUUCCCUGCAAAAGCAUGUGUGCCUGACUUCAAGAUCAAAUUUUUCCAACAAAAGAAACUUAAAGAUCAAACUCGCUAGAGGAAUAAGUGGUGCACAAGGGUGUUAAAAUCUUGACAUAUGUAUAUUUUUGGCAGAUUUUAUGUGAGCAUGCAACUAAAACUGGCAUCACUAUCAAUGGUGCACAAAGAUUGGUGGAAAACUUUAACAGUUUGAGUUGUAACUUCUCCAUUGUAUUUGUUAAGGCAAGACGGAUGUCAUCUAUUCAUUUUUCUGUAAAACUUAAAAGGCUGCAUAGCAGCUCUUGUUCGUUGUAUUGAAUACCGUGGUUUUACUGAUGAAUGCAGAGUUUGCUGAUGAUUCAUACGACAAGCAAUUGAAAAUCCCAUCAUUAUGCCCCCCAUAUACCAGAAGAAAAAAAAGUCAUUUACACAAAUUCAGAGCGUUCAUCCACUGUAAUUUGCAGAUAUAGAAACGUUAAGAUAAAAGGAAAUGCAAAGUACCUUUCACCAAAUUGGAGGAGCACCGGUGGCAUUAGCAAGUUAGCAACGGGAAUUGACAUACCAAUAUCUUCACAGUUUCUGCACAAGCACAAAUCAAAAGAAUCCGGAGGUGGAGUUAUGUACCUCUCCUUGGAAAAUGCCACCUCUUGGGAUUUCAAAAUAUGCGGCCGUGGCUAGCCGUCUGACCACGCCAAUUCCACCAAAGCCGCCGCAACGCGGUGUAGUGUCCGAUUGAUUGCUUCAAAUCAGAGCUUCGUAUCCAUGUGUUUAUCAGCAGAGAGUACCCAAAACCCCUGAAAAUUAUUUCUUUAUUCAGAUAAUAAAAUAUCCCAAAUUUCGAAUUUUAAUUCCGAAUCAAAAAUAGGGUUUGAAUUUUGAUUACCUAUAAAUUGGGGGGUUGCGGUGGAAAGGGAGUCAGCCAAGACGGCGAUAUGCGUCCUCGAGAGGGCUAUGAAAAUACAAAUUACAGAGCGUGUUGGGACGAUGUACAAGGCUUUUGCAGUCUCUCAAAUAUAAAUACCGAAGCUCCGUAAGGCGUUCAAUCCAGGGGGAAAGCUCUUUAAUAGAUGUUCCAUCCAGGAAAAGACUUCUUAAUCCUUCCAUAUUUUCUUCAAUGCUUGGAAACAACUCAAAUUUUGUACAACCGGAAAGAGAGAGAGAGAAAAGGGACUUGAGCUGACAAAUGCUGCUUGGAAGACUCUUAAGUUCUUUGCAAUCUUUUAGAUUCAAAUGAUUCAAUCCCGUAAGAUUAUUAAUUGACGAGGGCAGUUCUUUAAUUUUUGACCCGGAUAAAUUAAGCUCUUCUAACUCCUCCAUACCUUCUGAAAUCUUUGGAAACAUCUCAAGACUAGAGCAGCCAGAAAGAUUAAAGGUUUUGAGAGAUUUCAUACGAAUGCUGCUUGGAAGACUCUUAAGUUCCGUGCAAUUAUGUAGAUUCAAAUGACACAACCUCGUAAGAUUAUUAAUUGACGAGGACAGUUCUUUAAUUUUUGAGCAGGGUAAAUCAAGCUUUUCUAACCCCUCAAUACCUUCUGAAAUCGAUGGAAACAUCUCAAGACUGAAGCAGCCAUAAAGAUUAAAGGUUUUCAGACAUUUCAUAUGAAUGCAGCUUGGAAGACUCUUAAGUUCCUUGCAAUCUUUUAGGUUGAAAUGACUCAACCCCGUGAGAUUAUUAAUUGACAGGGACAGUUCUUUAAUUUUUGACCCGGAUAAAUUAAGCUCUUCUAACUCCUCCAUACCUUCUGAAAUCUCUGGAAACAUCUCAAGACUGGUGCAGUCAGAAAGAUUAAAGGUUUUGAGAGAUCUCAUACGAAUUUUGCUAGGUAGAAUCUUAAGUUCCUUGCAAUCUUUUAGGUUGAAAUGACUCAACCCCGAGAGAUUAUUAAUUGACAGGGGCAGUUCUUUAAUUUUUGACCCAGAUAAAUUAAGCUCUUCUAACCCCUCCAUACCUUCUGAAAUCUCUGGAAACAUCUCAAGACUGGAGCAGUCACAAAGAUUAAAGGUUUUGAGAGAUCUCAUACAAAUUUUGCUAGGUAGAAUCUUAAGUUCCUUGCAAUCUUUUAGGUUGAAAUGACUCAACCCCGAGAGAUUAUUAAUUGACAGGGGCAAUUCUUUAAUUUUUGACCCGGAUAAAUUAAGCUCUUCUAACUCCUCCAUACCUUCUGAAAUCUCUGGAAACAUCUCAAGACUGGAGCAGUCAGAAAGAUUCAAGGUUUUGAGAGAUCUCAUACAAAUUUUGCUAGGUAGAAUCUUAAGUUCAUUGCACCCAUGCAGAUCCAAUAAAACAAGGUUUGUAAGAGUCGAAAUAGACGGGUGAACCUCAACUAAGCUUAUACAACUUCGAACAAUUAGCCUCUCAAGAUUUGGCACAUUUGUGAAGUCAGGGGUUUCCUUAAGGGAUUGACAAUAACUUAAAUUGAUGAAUUUCAACUUUUC